CUGAAAUAUACUCAGAGUCGCAAAGUGAUUUCAUGCUCUUUAUUCAGCUCAUAGUGGUGAGGAGGAAUGAAUGAAUGUCCCCUCAAAGUAUCUGCUUUAUAUACAUUAUUUACACAAUGGGCUGCACAUGAUUGGCUAAUUCUGGAAUUCUACUGUAAGCCAAUCAGGUUGUGGAUUCACUUCUAUCUGGAGCAUGAUUGGGUGGUUCCUGCCAACCAAUCAUAGUGCUGCAUUGUUCUAGGACCAAUCAGACUGCUGCAUUCUGAAUCCUAUGGUUCUAGGACCAAUCAGACUGCUGCAAUUUGGAUCCUAUUGUUCUAGGACCAAUCAGACUGCUGCAGUUUGGAUCCUAUUCAGCUCAGUACAUAACACCCCUCCCCUCUAAGUUCCAGUCCUGCCCGGGAGGUCGCAUUCAUAGUCCUCGAGGUACGCCAGCGGCCUACGUGUGUGUUGCAGCCUGUGGUGUUCCCUGGUCCGGGGUUCAGGUUCUGGCUCGUGUUCCAAGGAUGCUGGCUGUGAUGGGGCUGUUUGGUCUGGCGCAACCGGCUCGCUCAGUCGUGGUUCUGGUUCCGGUGUCCUUUCGGCCUCGCGGGUCCUCUCUGUAUUUACUGAUUCUGCCUCUCCUGCUGGCCCCUCCUGCUCUAUGGGCCUCACUGCCCCUCUGUUCCCUUGGGACUCCUCUGACCUUUCCUCCUCCUGGUUUUCUCCCGGGAAUCGACGCCGUAUCUGGUCACAGUGGCGGCACCAGCAUUGCCCCCCAUCCGUUAGCACCUCGUACGACACGGGGCCAGUGACCCUGGUGACUGUGGCGGGUACCCAUGCUGGGCCUGCCCCAAAAUUCUUUGCGUACACUGGGUCCUGGGCCUCGAAGGUCCGGGGGUUCCUGCCUUCCCCCCACCACUACCUCAUCCUGAGCUCUAUCGGGGUGAAGGUGGUCCAAUCUGAUUGCAAGGCGCCGACCCAUUAGUAGUUCUGCGGGCUCCGGCCAGUCGUUGAGCUGGGGGUGCUGUGCUGUGCUAGAAGGAAUGUGGCAAGGCGGUACUCCCAAUCCCCUUGCGUCAUGCGGCAGAGGGUGUCCUUGGUGGUCCGCACCAUGCGUUCUGCUUGGCCAUUGGUGGCAGGGUGGAAUGGCGCCAAACGGAUGUGGCGGAUGGCGUUCUGCGCUGUGAAGGUUUGGAAUUCUCCUGACGUAAAUGCAAUCCCGUUGUCUGAGACGAGAGUGUCAGGGAGCCUGUGGGUUGCAAACAGCCUGCGUAGUACCCGGAUGGCUUCAGACAUGGAAGUGGACGGUACCAGUGCGACUUCCAGCCAUUUGGUGUAGGAGUCCACCACUAUGAAGAAUGUUUUCCCCUGAAUGGGGCCAGCGAAGUCCACAUGCAGGCGUGACCAUGGUGCUCGGGCGGACUCCCAGGACUGGACUGGGGCCCUUGGGGGAUCUGGGCGGGAUUCUUGGCAGGCCUGGCAGUGUUUGACCCAGGCCUCUAUCUCUCCGUCGAUCCCCUGCCACCACACGUAACUCCUGGCCAGGGCCUUCAUUCUUACUACCCCUGGGUGUGUCUCGUGUAGGGCUGUGAGGACCCUUUUGCGGAGGGGCUGGGGAACAACGACCCUGCUUCCCCAUAACAGGCACCCCUUGUGGGCCGACAGUUCAUGUUUGUGGGUUGUGUAGCCAGCGAAUUCUGGCCCAGGGCUGCUGCUGGGCCAUCCCCUCCACACCCAGUCCAGGACCCGGGAGAUGACCCUAUCUUUCUUGGAAUGGUGUGCAACUUCUUGUGCCUGAAUGUGGCUGUCGGGAAGCAGCUCCAGGCUCAUAACCUCUUGUGCAGGUGCUGGGUCGGGGCCUGUUUCCGGUAGUGGUAGCCUGCUGAGGGCAUCCACAUGGCCCAUCGCCUUCCCCGGGCAGUGAAUCAGUGCAUACUGGUAGCUGGCAAGGAAAAUUGACCACCUGAGGACACCUGAGGAGACAGCACUUGGGGAGUCUGCUUUUCGGGGGCAAACAAGCCAAGCAAUGGCUUGUGGUCAGUCACCAUGGUAAAGGGCCGCCCGUACAAGAAAUCAUGGAAUUUUUUUCUCCCUUCACGAUUGCCAGCCCCUCCUUGUCUAUUUGCGAGUAGUUCCGCUCGGUUGCGUUGAGUGUCUGGGGAAAGUAUGCUACCGGUACCUCUCUUCCCUCCGGGAGUUGGUGUCCCAGGACAGCGGCAAUGCCAUAGGGCGAGGUGUCGCAUGCUAGCACCACCGGCAGCCUCUCGUCGAAGUGUGCCAAGACCGAGUUUGAGACAAGCAAGUCCUUGACUGCCUGGAAUGCGGCCUCCUGGCGCUGGCCCCACACCCAAGGGGCCCGCUUGUCCAGGAGUCUGUGUAGGGGCUCCGCUACCGCCGCCUUGUGGGGAAGGAAGGAAUGGUAAAAGUUCAAUAGUCUGAAUCCUAUGGUUCUAGGACCAAUCAGACUGCUGCAAUUUGGAUCCUAUUGUUCUAGGACCAAUCAGACUGCUGCAGUUUGGAGCCUAUUCAGCUCAGUACAUAACAGACCCCCUCCGUGUGAGCGCUUGUGGGAGCUUGGAUGGCUAUUAAUACAAGCUUUGUGUGUGUUGUUGUGUCCUGAACAUGCACCUCCGUUUUUAUUAUGAUCUUCAAGGAAGAAAUUGCGUUACAAUAUAUUUUGUGUUUUGCAUCUUGCCUUCCUCGCUGGAAAAUGGGCAUGGGAUCUAACUGUUGCUUGAAUCUGAAGCACAGAAUUGCACUUGGAACAAAUGUACCAAUUUCAGCCUGACACCUCAGGGAGACAUAAAAGCAUGUUGCUAAUAAAAUUGCAAACAUGGAAUGAUAAAUGUGUGAGGUAAACCAAAGGCCUCACUUUGCUCAGGUAGUCAAAGUUUACAAAGUUUACAAAAGCACCUUAAAGAUCAAAGAACUGGAGGUUUAUAAGCAGAGGUUGGAUGGGCAUCUGUCCUGGAUGCUUUAGCUGAAAUUCCUGUGUUUCAGGGGGUGGACUAGAGGGCCCUUGGGGUCCCUUCCAACUCUACAAUCUUAUGAUUCUAUUAUUGUAUGGCUGACAGACUUCAAUAGCUAUGAUUCUCCUAACUUGCUAAUUUUAGAGGGGUGGCAGUUUCCAAAGAAUUGGGAGGUGUUUACACAGAGAAUCCCCAUUAUAUUUUGUUAUGUCUUCUUUGAACUACACCUAUUUUAGAUCUGGCCCACAGGAUGUUCUCAGAGAAUUAGAUGCAUUAUUAUACCACACACAAGCACACAAACACAUUUUGCUUCCAAAGAGCGAGACAGGGAAAAACAAAUCAAUGCAGAUCAUUUUAAGUAUUGUUUACAUCCCGCCAGUGGCUAGUCUGCGCACAUCUUACAUCGGUGAUUUACACAGUGGAAAAGCAGAAGCUGAUCCAUUUCUUCUGUAAAUAGCCUGUUCCUCAGCUCUGUUCAGCAAGUGGCCAGCUCCUUUUUGUCCCUAUCCUCCUCUUCUGUUUACUCUUUGGGAGUGUUGUCUUAUAAUACAUAAUGAUACACUUCUUAUCUUAGAAUAUAAAAUUCUGUGGCUUCUUCUCCUGGAGAAUUUUACAAAUAAAUCACACUGGGCUGGCGUGCGUGCAGGUGGAGCAGGGGGACUAGAUAAAAAACAUAAAAAUGGUUUUUGCUUUUGUAGGGUGAUGAUAUUUUAGGCCAUAUCACAACUAGGCAAUAUUUGGUUUUCAACAUUUCAAUAUAUCACCUGCUAAACAUCAUGAUAUACCAAUAGAUCACAAUGUCUGAAAUAAAGAUGGAGCUAUGUAGAGGCAUUGGCUGGCUUCACGUUUUCUCUAGCAUCAUGAUGUUUUUCGGCACUGCUCUUGUGAUUUGCUGCCCCCUGCAUUAGGGAGGGGAGAGCUGAGCUGGCAGAGUUAAUGUGAAGAAGGAAUGCAGGAAUCAAGAGAAGCAUUGGCUGGCUUCAUGGUUUUUCUCACUGUGAUUUUUGAAUUGCACAUACACACACACCAUGAUUUGCUACUUCAAACUGGUUUUGGACAAUAUAUUGCUCAGUCCAAACACACAUUACGAUUCGCAAUAUAUUACCAGGCCAAAAAUUAUGAAACCAAUAUCACACUAUGGGCUUCAAAAUGGUUUUUGACGAUAUAUUGAUAUAUCGCCCAGCCCUAAUCACAAGAGAUGUUCCUGCUCAGGUGCUCAGAGCAUCCAGCUAAGUCAAUUCAACUGCUUGUGUGCUUGUACUUUUGUAUGGAGGGGAAACUGGUUUAAAAACACUCGUGUCAGAUGUCAUUCUGUACCCUAGAAGCAUUCCUUUCUGUUGUAAUGAGGAGGAGGAGGAGGAGGCUGAUGUCAGUCCGAGACAAGGCAGUGCCCUCUAAGGUGCCAGAGCAGGAGGCACCGGCCAGUCCAGUAAGCUAUGGCAACUUUCAUUUUAUACACUGAAAAUUCUCUAGUUGGGAAGUGGCAGUUUCUGAUCAGCCUCCCUCAGGUGGUGAUGCAAUAGUGAUUAAUGCUGGUCACCGACAACCAUAACAGCGGUGGUCAAGGGCAAGGCAGCCAUGGCAAGCCAGGGUUGAGGCAGAUUUGUGGCUGCCUCAGAUGCUCAGAGCAGGAGAGGAGCAGAGCAGGAGCAGAAGAAGAUCCAAGGUCAGCUGGUUGACAAGAAGCAGGCAGGCCAGACUCUCAAGGAGAAGCAAAGCCCAGGUCAGUCAGAGUCAGGACAAAGGGACAGUGUGGGUGGGUGUAUGAAAGAGAGAAAGAAUGUUUGUGCCUGGAGAAAAUGAUAUAGACUAGGUUCGUGUUGCUUUCAUCCUCCUCCAUUACUGUAAACGUAUUUGCUACCCCACAUAUCCUCUGAUGAUAGUGUCUGAAGCAUCAGUUGCCCUAUAAAAUGUGUUUGGAGGCUGAAACCAAAUGAGAACUGAUCAUUAGGCCCAUUACAAGAACAUCUAGACAAGUUCUAGGCAAGGAAUCUAGAACUGAUUAUAAAAAUGCUUGAUUGGACUUGACUAAAAGAUCAGUGGGUUUCAGCUAUACUCUUCGUAAGCCGACAGAGUUAUGAUACCACCUACUGGAAGAAAUUAGCCAAAAUAAGUUUUAAACCCUCUCCCUCCUCCUGAUUACUCCAGGCUCAUUCUCUUUGAAUGACAUCUGGAAUCACAAAGAGGUUUUUUACUUCACAACAGAAGCAAUAAAGUGGCAAGCAGAAUAUUUGGGUUCUGGAGAUGAACAUGUGGGGUGUAAGGAAUUGGUAAAAAAAAAUGCUCCAUAACUUAAAAAAAUAUAUAUUAAACCUUUUGAGGGCUCCUUUAAGUCCACGUAUGGUUUUGGUUAGUGGUUUAUGGCUCAGAGUUGUUCAGUGGGAUAUCUUAAAUGUGCCAAAUAAUGGAGUAGGUGAAGUGUCUUGCUGAUUCAAAGCGAAAGCCCAGCUGCAUCAGCAUUCCUGCUGCUUCCAACACUGGCCAGCUCAGACGCAAGCAAAGUCAUACUGGUGAAGGCAAAGACUUCUGUCCUCAAUAUGUCAAUUUAUCAUUGGCUAGUUUUCAUCUGAAUUAUAUUUUAGAGAAUCAUAGAGUUGGAAGGGACUCUGAGGGUCAUCUAGUCCAACCCCCUGCAAUGCACAGAUCUCAACUAGAUCCAUGUAUGUUAGGUCCACUCACCUUUUCCUGGUGGGCAGUGUUGCGGCUGGGCAGCUGGGACACAACAGCUUACUGGCCUAAGGGGCAGAGGGGCACCGCCUCUCCCCCUGCGUCUUGCUGGCCGCGUCAUCAUUGCUGGGGUUCUUCCCCCUGUGGAACAGCCCCAGCCAGUCAGCUUUCAGGGUGGGUGUGGCCGCGGGCGAUUUAACUGCAGUGCGAGCGGGCGGUUCCCUCUCUCUCGCCCCAUCACCAGAUCACUCAAACCCCCACCCUCUUUUUAUGCUUUGCUCAGAUAUGAUCUUGCUUGUCAUUUGCCAUAGUGUUCAGGCCAGGUAGGAAUUUUUCCGUUUGGCAAGCUGGCACCGGCCAUUUGGUUUUUGCUACCUGCUAGCAAUCAUCACAACUUUUGUGAGAUUAGGCAUUGGGUAAACCUUUGUUUGGAGGGAGGGGAGGUUGCCUUCGCCUGCCCCUCCUCAGUAAGGGCACCCUGUGAAAGGGAUCUGGGGUGUGAAUGCUGUCCGAAGCCUGGGCUAGGGCCAUGUCACAGCCCCUACAGGGACCCCUUGGGGUGCCCUUAUUUGAUGUAAGUCAUAGGGCUCCCCCUAUUGGUGGUUUACCCUUAAAUGGACUCCUUACAGACAGGCAGGAGUCAAGGUAUAGCUUGGCUUCACCCCAAUGCCUAAGCCAAACCGCUCACAUCUGUAACCAAUAAAGUUGUGCCCUAUUUGAAUCCAUUUGAACCCAUGUGUUUUAUUGUUCUCCUGGCAACUUUGUGGCUCAGGUGCCUUGGCACGCAACUGGCCAUCCCACCUCUGCUUAAAAACCUCCAAGGAUGGAGAGUUCACCCCCAUCCCCCAAGGGAAUCCGUUCCACUGUCCAACAGCUCUUACUAUUGAAAAGUUCUUCCUGAUGUUUAGUCAGAAUCUCCUUUCAUGUAACUUGGAUCCAACGUUCAGGUCCCAUCCUCCGGAGCAGGAGAAAUAGGCUUGGCUUUCUUGCUUAUUUUCUUAACCCACAUAAUGCUUUAUAAACAGCAUAAAUGGAGGGCAUCAAGAGAUUUUUAAAAGAAUAUUUGUAUCAAAGCAAAAGAUAAAGAUUGCCUGUGCUAUAUUUUUUAAAAAAAAAACAACAACCAGAAACAGUAUUGAUAGGCAUGGGGGACAGAAAAAUCAAUAAAACAAGCUUGCUGCAAAAAUUGAUUUGGACAUGAGCAAACAACGUUUUAGCUGCAUCUGCUGCUUAGAAAUCUCUUGCCCUUUGAUGAGCAGUGUCACUGCUGGGGUGGUGAAGUCAGAAAAGCAUUACAAGCACCAGAAAGGCAGAAUUGCAGCAAGGCAUCACCUGCAAUUAACGAGAGAAAGCUCUAGCUAGAAACUGGAUGUUUAAGGCAUUGUGUGAAGUGGCUCCCUUCUUCUAAAAAGAUUAAAUUCCAAAUGUGAGAAAUCAUUACUUAGGAGGCAGGACAAAUAUUGCUUAGGAGUGCCCCUGCUACACUUGUUCUGCCACCAUGGUGAACAUGCAGACUCAUUGGAGAAUCAUCUGGCAUUUCCUAUUUUGAGCAGAAUCCCAGACUUAUUCAUAGGUGAGUUACAUGAGAACAGCACUUGCCCCUAUAAGCAUUCCCCAGGCACGCUGCCAUUUUCAGAUGCAUUAACCACCUUUAGCAGCCCAUGCAUGUGUUCUGUUACCCUGCCUGCAGCCCACCCAGCUGAGCUGCCAACAGUUGGUGUGUAAUGUGCCCGUGUGCUUUCAGCUGGCAAGGGUGGUGCAGUGCUUUGGCUUAGGUGGGGCCAUAUCCCUGAGCAGCCAUGAAUUUCCCAGGGUGCCUUGAGCCAGUCACUGCCUGAGCCUAGCAUACUCAGCGCCAAGGGGUCAUGGGCCAGGCCAGACCUGCCUUCCAAACCUCCAGGCUUGUAAAAUAUCACUUGAGCAAAGGACAUCAUCACUCCUGCUGUGAAAAAGGUCCUGGAGGUGUGACGCUCCCACGCAGGGCCAGAUUUACGUAUAAGCUAAACAAGCUAUAGCUUAGGGCCCCACUCUUUGAGGCCCCCCCAAAAAAGUAAAGAAAAAAAGCAACUGGGUGUACAUUUCCAAUUACUUUGAUAAAAUACAUAUUUUGUUAUGUGCAAAUGACUUGAUAUUUUGUUAUGCUGAAAUUGUUAAUAAAAAAAAUUAAAACAAAAAACCCAACACCAAACAUAUUGCACAAUAGGACUGGGGAACGUGUGGUCCUUCAGGUGUGGCUAAACUGCAACUCGCAUCAUCUGGACUAUUGUAUUCCCUCAUCAUUGAAUACAAACAUUGAUGGGAUUUAAAUGCUUAUUGAUGACAGAAAAACAUUCUGCCUGUGUUUCAAGCCCUCGCUCUGGUCAUAUACUGUAACAACCACAUGUUGGCCAGGGAUUAUUGAAAUGGCUUCUGGAGUUAAUCCCUAGAAUAUCAUGGCCCAAAUUUAUAUAUGAAAAACAUCUAUAAGAAGCGGAACUUCUUUUAUUCUAAUGCUUCUGUUAUAUUUAAAUUAGGUAAUAGGCAUGUCUCGUCCUCAGUUACCUGAGGGAAGAUGGUAACUAGGUAGCAGGUAAAAAAGAUGACGACAACUUUCCCUGGUUCCUAGUGUGGAGUUAUUCACAAGAAUUUGCAGAUACCUAGCCUGGUCUCCUCUUGUGAUCAUGAUGAGGUGCCAGUUUUGUCACAUACAGAGGCUCAAAUGCUUGUGCUUUCAGAUAUCUGAUUGUGCAGAAUGCAAUCGGGGGGGGGGGGGACUCAGCUUAAAAUAACUUCUCUGUUCUAUUGAGGGAACUAAUCUUUCUCUUAAAUUGCUGACAGCUCAACACAGGUGGUGGUAACCUGGGGCUUGCUCAGGGCACUGCAGGUUGAGACUUGCAUCUCCUGUAAUCAGUCUGAUUGUCAAUGGCACUUCAUUGGUGUACAGAACAUGCUUUUUAUUAUCGUUCUCUAAUGCUUUUUCUCUUGGUAAAGGAAAUAAUGGUAAAUUUAAAUUGUCGUUUCCUAACUCUGCAAAGAUUUUCUUUCUCUCCCCUCCCCCACACAACUACUCCUAACUCCAGGUCUCUUCAUCCUCAUCAUCCUUUUAAAUUACAUUCUGUUUCAUUAAUUAAAUACAAUCCUCCCAUAUUGAUAUGGGGAUUUUUUCAAUCGCACUAAGUUAAUAUUGUGUUGUAAACUGCCCUGUGAUCCUCUGAUGAAGGGCAGUAUAGAAAUUUAAUAAAAUAAUAUGCAAAACAGAUCAGACGUAAAAUACAAUGGGAAAAACUUAUUGACUCUGUUUGGAUAAUUUUUAAUUAGAGAGAGUGUCAAAAUCAAUCUCAACCAAAGAAACCAAGGUGAAAUAAGAUCCUGAGCUCUGGUUGAAGAAGAGUAAUUUUGGAUUAGACCAAGGCCUAUAGCGCGCUUUGCUCAUGGUCCAUCCCUGGAGCCCAUUCUUGGCUCCAGUAUCUCUGCCUUCAAGCUGGGAUUGGAUGACAGAAUCCAUUCCACACCUGCCAGUCUGUUCUGGAUUUUGGGUGGACUGAAAUCAGCUUGCUUCAAGAGCUUCCAAAACUUUUGGAUGUGAAACCCAAUGGCUCUAUUUACACCUAGCUGCAAUGUGCAGGAGUUCCCAUGUUACAAUUAAAAACCUGGUUGGCAUGCUACGGAGUUCAGUGGGUAAGAUAAACAACCAUUUGGGAGAAGUGGAAACAAGAGAAGUUGAAGCUGGCACAGGAGGAAGAAAGAGGUGAUUCCGAUAUAAGGGAGUCUACAGGCUGUUAAUAGGGCUCUGAGUGAAAACUCUCGUAUCUGGAUGGGUGUUCUCAUGAAACAACAUCAAAAUUACUGAGGUGCCAAAGAGGCAAGAACAUGGAAGCCCCACAGCUUUCAUGGACUCUCUUUAUUGCAUAUUAUUUUGGAUUUAUCUCCUGAUUAUGAAUUAGAUGUCAGAAGGGCUUAUAGAUUUACUGUCCCAUCACCACAGGAAGGAGGCCACCCUUCCGGACCAGCCAUAUCAUAUUUUGCAGCCUGAGGCAAAGGACAAGUUUUACACACACACACACACACACUCCACUGCCAGAAGAAUUGGCCAUUGAAUCAUACAUCAACAUUGGUAAAGGGAAGGCAUCCUUAAUUGUACCUGAGACAGCAGGUUAGUUCAGAAGGCCAGGAGAGACUGUGGCAACAGAGGAGAAUCUCUGGGAGUUUUUGGGGAACAGGACUAGGGGCAGCUGCUGUUGCUGUCCCUGAAAUCUGCUGCCUGAAGUGGUUACCUCACACUGCCUACUGGGAAGGUCAUUCCUAUUGCCCUCAUACAUUUGGUUUUAAAGUUCUCCAGUUCCUGACAAAGGAGGACAUUUCAAACAUACAAGAGAGAAGAUGUAUUUGAGUGGGCGCAAGAUACUAAUUCACAAAUUAUGAUAGUCCCUGAUUAUGAAAAGAGGUUGUUAAGAGUCAGCAAGCCUUUUCAGGAGCAUGCCAGGUGUCAAGAGACGGAAACAUAGAAUUGGAUAUUCAAACCCAGUAAUCUUUUGUCUUCAACUGGUGGGGUAUGUGAGGACCUUCCAUGAUGUUGCCUCAGCUGAGGAUUUCCACAUCAUGACCAUCUCCAGCUGAAGUGUGAGCCAACGUUACGCCAUGUUAAUUUCCUUCAAACAUAUGGCUGGAUGUUAUUUCACUUGGAACUAUUUACCUCAUGAGAAAUUUAAUGUGGCUCCUCUUUAAGGAAAUUGCAACUACUAAUUAUGGAAGGAGGUUUCAUUUUAUUAAUGAGCUUUCCUCUUGGCUGCUUCUCUUCAGUGGCAACUCUACCUGCUCAACACCUCUGUCUCCUGCCUGGGCUGAAUUAGAAACCUUUUACGUUACCCCAUUACAGGGCUAGUCGUCACUUGUAUCCACCUUUCUAGGCCUCCCUACUUUCUGCUGUUUAUGCUACUUGGAUUACCUAGUCUGCCAAGGCUUGCACAAAAAGGAGUUAUCAGAUAGAUUUAUCCUACUUCUAUGAGGGGUGAGAGGAAGAGAGAAUUGGAACAUCCCACUCAACGUGAGCUGUGACCUUAUUGACUGUCACGUAGGCUCCACUGCAAAUUGUCAUCUCCAACCCCCAAGAGUUGGUGAUGUAAGGCAGAAAUCACAUUCUUUAUCCGCAUGAUAGAGAGCUACCCAGUUUAAUCCCCUUUCGGGAUGAUGUUUCGGUAAUUAUUAUUUUAGUCCUGGAAACCUGACUACCGUAUAUUUUGAAGAUGUAAAUGUUUUGCUGAAUUACAUCCUGGCCUUUUGGAAUUCAUCUCUGGGCCGUGAACUGUGGUUCACAUAUGCCUGAGGGAGACUGAAAUGCGUUGUGCUUCAGCACUGGAAAGAGAAUUCACAGAAUUUCCUAUAACAAUGGAUCAACGAUUUUCACUUGAUGUCCUUAUUUGAGCUGGCAAUUUAUCAACAAGAGCACAAAGAAGAGAAACGUAACAAUUUUUGGUUUGCUUUAUAUAUACAAUUUUAUAUCAUCAAAACAUCUGAAUCCUUGUCCGCCCUCCCAUUUUGACUUUCCCUUUCUUAUUUUUAACUUGUAUGCUACUUUAAUUGUAUUGUUGAAAAAACAAUAAAAUCGCAUAAAACAACAAUUAAUACGCACAUGGGAGUCCACUCCGGAGCAGGAACUGGCAAUCUUGCAGACAAAAUAAUUCACAGUGACACAAAAUAACCAUCCCUUGACCUACAUGAUUGAUGAUUGUGGUGAGAGCUGUUGUUUUCAGGUGUGCAUCAAAGUGAAUGAUUCCAGGAGCCUCCUCUUUCUUGUUAUGGUUGCUGUUGCCAGCACACUUUUUGUUCAAGGCUGCACCAUUCAUAAGUCAGAGUGAUGAAGUAGUGCCUUUGAACAUCUAAAUCCCCUGGAUCAAAUGCAACAUUUAUGACCAAGACCUAAGCCAAAACAGCAUGGCUUUGCUUUGUGGAGCUGCUGAAUGGUGUGUUUUAAUAAACUACAAAAGAAAGCGAUCUGACUUCCAAAGGUUAUGGCUUGUGUCAUAACAAGAAAUUUUCACAACUACCUGAAGUCAGGUAGUGGUCUGUGGUCUUUCAUAAGUGAGGAGUAAUUCAGAACAAUAUACUGUAGCGAAGCUUUUUGCUGCUGCUUCUGUUGACACUGCAGAGGCAAAAUCUUUUUCUUCCCCCUCCAGUGGGUCAUUGUGCAUGUUCUUCCAGCUAAUAUUCUUAUUACUCUUGUAUGUUUUCUUUCAAUUCUGUCAUUGUCUUUUCCAGUAGUAGAUAGGAGCUUUUAAAACAGAAAGGACCAUAUCAUCUGUUACUUGUUCUUAAAAGGAGCAUGUUACAGGAUAUAAUGCAAGGAACCAUUUUCACAAAAAGCCAAGGGUCUAAUGCCUAUUGAUGGAGUGCUGCUCAUUAGAUUUGCUUUAUUGGCACUAUUUCAACAUGAGUUGCCCAUAGUGGCAUUGUGCUUUUCAAAUAACUGUGUCCUGAAAUGCAGCAGUCCUUGCUCCCAAGGACCCAGUGCAAAACGGUGUCACCUCAAUGCCAAUGUGGGGUUGCCCUGUAACUUCUGCUUUAAUAGAAUCCUACUUACAAUGCAGAAAUGAAAGUCAUCUUCUGUGAUUCACCUGAAAGCCUCCUGAAAUAUGCAUGGCACCUCAACAUUCCUUUCUUUUAACGGAAUUUAUGCAGAAACUGGACAGCUUGUAUUAUACACUUCCACAUAUUUUAUGAGCCCCAGGGGGAUUAGCAUCUUCAAAGUCACCAUAUAAAUGAAACUUCUCUUAUUUCAGCACAACUGCAUUCAGAGCAAAUGGUUAGCAACUGUGGCCUAGGUUGCAUAGAUGCUUUAGUUGAGAUUUCUGCAUUGCAGGGGGUUGGACUAGAUGACCCUUGGGGUCCCUACUGACUCUACAAUUCUAUGGUUCUAUGUUCCCUCCUUUGUAAAUCUUUCCCAUAAGUAGUGCUGGAAAAGCUCCUAGAACUCCGUGCAAUCCAUGUGGAGUGAGGAUGACAGAUGGAAGUCUGCUGUACACACAAGUGAUGCAAGCCAGCCCUUCACUCUCUCGAUGAUCCAACUUUGUAGGGCCUUGUGAGAAAUUCUGAAUGUAGUAACAUGUCUAAAGGGGAUUAUUAUCAAAAAGUGCAGCUGAGAAGUCUUUUGAUUUUGGCAAGAGUAUUAUAACAAUAAAGGUCAUUUGAGAAGGAAUGCAAACAGGCAGAUGGUGAGCUCAGUGCCUUAUGAAUUUUCCUGUAUAGUGAUGUCAUGGGUUUGCAUGAUUUCCCACACAGAUCUGGACCUGGCAGUAACAAUCUGGCCUUUCUUUAAUCUCAGGAUAUCAUUGGAUAAUGUGAGAUGCAAAGAGCCGUCUCAUCACUCACCUCGAUGUGAAGGACAUUCUGAAAAAAAUGCAUUUAAGUAACUCUAUUUGGGCAGGUAACUAAGAAGGCUGUGGGGUCAAGAAGAAGGCACACACAACUGAAACAAAAGUUGAAAUUAUUCCUCAUGAGAACAAGCGCACAGAACUCAUGCCAGGCUGAGCCAAAGAAUAAAUUAAGGGCAAUCAUGCAGUAAAGGCAGCAGAAUGGAUGAACUGGGUGCUUCUCAGCAAGGAAGACAGAUGUUUGGAACAGCUCCUGCCACAAAUUUGGAAUCUCUGAAAUCAUCUCAAUAAUAAAUUGCAGAGCAUUAAACUCUGUCCAUAGAUUUGUUUGUGCAUUUUCUCACUGUCUCGAGGGAGAGUUGCACACAUGCAUCCAAGAACAGAAUUUAACCCAACCAGUGAUUUCUUUCUAUUUAAAGUUAAAGUGCUAAGAAAGCACUACAGCUGGUGCCAGAAAACUUUGAGGAAAAAACUAACCUUUUAGCCAGUUGCGAUGGAAAAGUCAAUGCUGUCGUCAUCACACAAUGGGCACAGUGAAUAGAGAUGAUGAAGUCCAAAUCCCAACUUAUCAAUGAACUGCCUGGCUAGCUUUGGGGAGAUUGCAAUCACUCAGUGUAAGUUAGUGGUUCUCAAAAGGUGUGUCAUGCCACCAUGGUGUGGCAGGAGAGCAUGGCAAGGAAGGCAGGAAGAUUCAAGGACAAUCAAAGAAACAUUUAAACAUUUCCAUGUGGUAUAGUAUAGUAACCAUAAAUAUAGAUAUAGAUUAGAUAUACAAACAAAAACAGUAUCUACAUCUCUCUUCAAGGCUAUUAGCUACAUUUCUCCACAACAUAUUGUUGUGAACAAUAUGUUGUUUCUUCAGCUCUGACAAAUAUGAAAAAUAUGAGAUUACCUGGCAAAAGCCAGUUCACACCUCAUUGAGGUUGUAGACCUGCCUCCUUAAGGUACAAAUAAUGGGUGGUGCGCUAGGGGAAUUAGUGGGGAUGGGGAUAGCUUGCCUAUUUCUGCUUUCCAUGCCUUGAGCAUGGUCUGUGUGUACCUGUUAAGUGUUGUGGGUAUGCUGUGGUGCAGGUAUUUUCAAUUGUGUCCCUCUCUAGGUGUAUCCAUUGUUUUGUCUCAUCUUCUAGUAUGUAUGGGAUUAUAUGGCGUACUUGGUUGUUCUAUGUUGGGGAUUCCCCAUCCUCCUUCUGAGGAGGGGAGGUGCAGGUAUUUGGGGCUUAUUCUUGGUUUUUUAUUUGAGAAGAUAAAAGAGUGUAGUUUUCUCUGCCAUUUGCAGAGUUGGGUUGGGGGAAUCCAGAUUGGGAGGGUUUGGAAUAGAUAGGUUAGUUUUGGGAGGAUGAUCAUUUUGAUCAUGGCUAUUUUGUCUGAGAAAGUGAAGUUUAUGUUGUUCCCUCUCUUUAGGUCUUUGUUAAUUUGUCGCCACAGGGGCUUGUAGUUGUGGAGAUAUAAUUUAUUGAGGUUUCUGGUUAUUUGUACCCCUAGGUAUCUGAACUUGGUGUGGCAAAGUUUUAUCUUGGUGGCGUUAGUGAGUUCUUUUUGGGUGUGAGGAGGGGUGUUGAAGCACAUGGCUUCCGACUUGGCAAAAUUUACCUGUAGGCCCGACACCACUGCAAAUGUGUUGAGUUCUCUGAUUAGGGAGGUUGCUGUGCUUAUGGGGUUUGGUGCUGUACCAUUAGGUCAUCUGAGAAGAGCCCUAAUUUAUAGGUUCUGCCUUUUCAGUGUAUUUCUUAUCAAUUUUUAAAAAGUGUGACCCAGAGAAAAAAGUUUGAGAACCUCUGGUGUCCGUGUAAGGAUGUGCUAGUACUGAGAGGUUUGGCACAACCAUGAAAAGAGAUAGCUGAACUUUGCUCUUCUGCAAUGGCUUCUCCACACGGGAGUGGCAUGUUUCCAUAGACAUUCCCGUUGCUUGGAGAACAACUUGGUAGCAAUGAGGGGAAAUGGUUGCUAUGAGCAAUGGUGAUAAAUGUAGGAGUGGACUGUUCUCAUAAAGUGAAGGACCUCAUGGGCCUGUAGAUAUAGGUCUUUUAUAUCAGCAGGAAUGAGUGAACAAUCUGUGCUGUAAUUAGCAGUGGUGCUAUUUCUUCAAUCUUAUACUGUUAAGAACUUCUUUAGAUUCUGAGAGAAGGAACAGAUUGUCCAGGGUUGCCCAGGUUUCGGUUAUAAAUGUACCUAAAAUGGAUUCUUCUUAGAUUGCAAGCAUUACGAACCAACCUGCUUCAUUUAUUUUCCUCAAUAUCUGCUAUUAGAAUCUUUUCCAUUAUUGAAUUGUAUUGAUGUUACCAUUAGUGUGGAGAGUCAUCUAUGACGAGCUAUUACGCAUUUAAAAGUUCUAUCAAUAAGGGUAUUGAUUUGGGCUAAUGGCUCGUUUUUAAGCUUCUGUUGGAAUAUUUUUCAUAUCCUUAUGUGUAUAAUAGCUAUAUUAGAUUCUUACUUUAAUGGCUUUAAAAUCUCUUUGCUCUUAAGCAUACAAUCCCUCUGAAACAAGGCAAUAUAUAUUGCUAUUUGGUUCUUGUUUUUGGAGAACUAUAGACGGAAUGCCAGAGGGGUUCAUUACAUACAGGAGAUCAUUUCAUUAUAUUUAGUCCAUUAAUUGGGGUAACUGAAGCUACUAAAUCCCAAAUGUUAAAAUGGCAGCCAGUGAUUCUCAGUGGGGAGAUAGGACAAUCACGUCUAAAGGGGGAGGGACCUAUCAUUUUUGUUAUUAUAGGCUCAAUAAAGGCUUACAGGUGGGUUGGUUUGUAUGUUACUUUUAUAUCUCACCUUUCCUCUAAGACAAGUGUUCCCAAACUGUGGUCUGUGGACUACGAGUUGUCUGCAAGCUUCAUUAAGGUGUCUGUGAUGUGUCAAGUAAAAAUCAUACAACAGCUAGCACAGUACAUUAGAAGUGUUACAGCAGGAAGAAAAAUUAUGAAGUGGUCUGCCAAAAUGCUCAGCAGUUUUCAAGGGGCCCAUGGUGGGGUGAGGAGUUUGAGAACUACAGCUCUGAAGCACUCAAGGUAGCUACAUGGUUUUCUUUGCAUCAUUUUUAUACUCACAACAACAGUGUGAUGUCCCAAGGUCAUCCACAUGGCUGACCAUAAAGCUGAGCCCAGGCCCCUCCCUCAGUGAUGCCUUGAUGCUUCCAUACUCUUAGAUGGCUCAAGAGUUCACAGCACCCAAGGCAGAUUGUCCUUUGCUACCUCUCAACAAUACUCCACCUGGAAAUGAGACCAUCUGGCAGUGUGCUCUAAGAAUCUGUGGAAUGUGAGGGGGGAAAUCACACAUAAACAAUGAGUUUCCAGCACAGUGGAGGAUCCAGAACAUUUCUCUGUCACCUGCUGGGAUUUUAUCAAGGUCUUAUUGCUUCAGACCUUGAUGCUCAAUAUUCACUUUCUACAUCAGCCCAGGAAAUAUGGAUGUCUUCAUUUAUUUAUUUUCCCCAAUAAUUUUUAUUGUUUUUCAUUCAAAUACAAGAGCAACAUAUAACUACAAGAAUUUGCCCAGUGGUACAUUCUUAUUAGGUUUCAUAUGCUGUACGUAGUACACAAGCAAUAUGUUUAUUUCUUUAUUAUCCUUUCAAGUAGCCUCUCCACAAAGAUUCUUGUGUUGAGGGUGGAAUAAAAGUAUCUCCCAUCUCAUUUAUAAAGGAAAAGAAAGGGAGCCAAGACUCUAUCCAAAGUCGAAACAAAAUAAAAAAAAUUCCUUACAGUGGCACCUUAGAGACCAACUAAGUUUGUUAUUGGUAUGAGCUCUCGUGUGCAUUCAGGUAUCUGAAGAAAUGUGUAUGCACAUGAAAGCUCAUACCAUUAACAAACUUAGUUGGUCUCUAAGGUGCUACUGGACCUUAUUUUGUUUCGACUACGGCAGACCAACACGGCUACCUACCUGCAACUAGAUCUAUCCAAAGUGUCUGUCCUUGAAGUGCCUUUAAUUACCGUGUUCCAAUAGAGCCACAUUCCAAAUACUAUUUAACCAGACUUCAAUGGGGAGAUAUAUAGAUUGUAUCCAAUAUUGAGCUAUUGUUAAUUGGGCUGCUGAUAACAGAAAAAAUACUAAAUUUCUGCAUUUGAGGUUUUUGUUAGGGUCUAAUCACAACAAGUCAAGAGCACAAGUGCAUGGGAGGGGUUGCUACAUGAUUUUGGUAAUAAAGUGAAACACAUUUCCCCAAAGGUGUAUACCAUCAGUGAACGUAUCAAUUUUGUGCUUAGUAUUUCUGAUUUCCGCACCAAUAUCUGCAUCCACCCAUGAGUGAAAGGCAAGCACCUCUAUCUCCAUCGCAGAAAGUAGCAGCCCCAGGGCAAGCCUGGGCGAGUGCCCUGUUGAGGCAGAGGAGUUGGUGUCAGGCCCAUUUACUGUAAAAAAUGGUGUUAGACUGUAAGUAAAUUAGAUUAAUCAUAUUCAGGAAUUGCUUACCAAAUGGUAAUUUAGAUAAUAAAGAUUUUUAAAGGGCCAUUGAAUUCUGUCAAGACCUUGAAGGCAUCAAGGGGAAUUAAAACACCAAAGGAGUUUUGUGUGUAGAAACCAUGAAUCACAUGAAACGAUCUUCUCAUGGAAUCCACAAUAUUCCUAGAUGGAAUGAAACUGGUUUGGUCCGUUGAAAUAUAUUGACCAGUGAAAAUAUUAAUCCUUUUGAUCAUUACUGCUGUGAAAAGCUUUGCAUCAACAUUAGCAAGAGAAAUAGGUCCAUAUGAGUCCACCUUUGUUGCGUCUUUCUCCUCAUUUCAGCAAUAAGGGUCAAUUUUGAGGUUUGCCAAUUUAGAAGUUUAUCACUGGUGCACCAUUUUUAGUGCUAAGCAGAAAGUUUCCAUAUGAGGACUUUUCUCUCCAUUUUUUGGUGGGGGAACCAACUUGCAAAUUUCAAGGGUUGAAAUUAGUCCCAUGUUCCAUUAAUGAUGGCUUCUUGAUUGGCAGUGGCUGCUUUUCCUUUUUUAAAACAACAACAACAACUUUGAGUUUUAAAGUGGUAGAGCUCUUUGGUGGCCUUUUCCCCCUUUUGUGGGGGCAAACCUGGGAUCAUCUGAAGGCAGCUACAAGGGAUGAGAUUCGGAUAUAUAGAUUUAUAGGUAAUAUAUAUACUGCUACCCCAAUAGCCCUUAGUCCCCAAAUCUGCAAAUAAUCCCCGCUGCAAACACACCACAAAACCUUCACUGGUGAGGAUUUUCACUCAGCCCAAAAUUAAAUCCCAAGGCUGAGUUUGCAUGUGGCAUGGAAGUAGAAUUGUAGUUCAGCUUUCAUAAAUGUUUUACUCCUGCAAAAUCAGAGGGUAUCUUCUUCUUCUUUGGCAAUCAUUCGUAGCCGAGGAAAAUUGUCUUCCAUGAACGUGGUCUUAACAGUGAGUCUGUAAGUGACUGUGGAGGCCAAUUUUGGAUCCACACGUCCUUCUGCAUUGGGGCCAUAGGUUUCCAGGUGGGAGUUGAUCCUGGUAAUGGUUUGCCAAGUGUGCCUUCCUCUUAACACAUUUCUCCCUUUCAUCCUGAGUUUGAGGGUCUUCAAAGCUCAUGACGCCUUUGAUAAAGGCUGUUCUCCAGCUGGAGCGCUCAUAAGCCAGUGUUUCCCAAUUGUCAGUGUUUAUUCUGCAUUUUUUUAGAUUUGCCUUGAGAGAUCAUAUAGUGUCAAAUAGUGUCAGAAACUCCUCUUCGGAAAGUCAACUGAUCUUUGAGAGAUUGCUCCUGCAAGGGUCAGAGGGGACUUUUUCUCUCAGCUUGAAAUUUCUGCAAAUAGAUAUGGAGGGGUUGCUGUUGUUGUGUCAUGGCCCAAGCAGGUCCCCAGGGCAAGCUCACCCAUGAGACAGAGUGAUCAGCUGCCUCAGACGGUGGAAACACAAGAGGUGGCACACCUGUGGGUGCCCUGCUCUACCGCUACCAGAGAAGCAACUCAGGUAAGAGAGGCAGAGGCAGCAGCAAGGAGGGGGCCUUAUACUGCCCAGUUUUGCCAUCAGAAAGGAAGGGAGAUUUGGGAAGUUCAAAUGCUGACUGCAACAUUAUGAUGCUACAGCCCUCUGCUGCCAAGCAAGUUGCCAAAGCUUUGCAAGGGCUUUUUUUCCUUAAGAAGAAGCCCUUGCAAAGCCUCACCACUGGGCAGGAGGGAGAUACCCUUGCGUAAUUUGCGCCCCCCCCCCCAAAGCUUUGCAAGGGUUUUUUCUUGCACUUCAUGCCCACCCACCUCCCAAUCACAGGAGUGGCAGGGGGACGUUUCAUUUCCUGUGCCAAAAUGUCUAGGGCUGUCCCUGCACGUCCCCUUAAAAGGGGGCUCAGGCACCUGGGAGGCAGCAAGGAGCAACAGCUGCCUUCUUGGAGCAGCCAAGGAGUGUUUGAGCGUCUGAGAUCAAUGUUCCACCCGGCAUUCCUAAGUUACCACCAAAAGUUGCCUAAAGCAAAAUUCACAGCAAAUGUAGAGGCUCCUGGAAAACAACUGGACAAAAUUUGAGGAAAGUGAAGAGUUUGUGUAUUUUAUGCACCACAUAAAGUACAUUAAAAUAUAUGUACCAUGUUCCAAGAAGGUUUCAUUGGAUUUAUCUCAUUUUCACACCCAUAACAGCCCAAGACUGAGGUGGGUUUGACUGACAGAUAAUGACUGGCCUAUUGUGUUUUAAACAGAACUAGAUCCUUUCUGAUCUGACAAGCAGGUGCCAUUGUACCUUUUAGAGUUACAUUGCAUAUCCCUUUCAGCACAUUUCUUCAUAAAAUGAAACUGGAUCUUGAAGCGGAAGUUGAAAGUUGUGGGCCCAAAGCAGAUGGGUUUCUUAUGUUUGUUGCUAUAAAGAGAAAUAUCAAGACAAAUAUACCUAAUUGGUGGCUGGGUGAGUGAGUUCAAGAGGUACCAAAGCUGUUUUCUUCUCUCAGGGGAAAUGGGCUGUAUUUAGUUUAUUGCUUUUGGAGGGGUGUCAUCCGGAUAUGGCCAUUAUAGUGAAAUGAACUAACAGUGCAAUCACGUGCAUAUUUGCUUACGUUGGGAGUAAGACCCAUUGAACAUUGUGAGCCUUACUUUUGAGUAAACAUUCAUAGCAUUGCACCAUAAAUUUGUGAUCCUAUUUGUGCUCACUGGAGAGCAAUCCUAUUGAACUCAGUGGGAGUUCCUUCUAAGUAAACACUUCAAAGUUGGACUGGGCUGCAUAGCACACAAAAUUGAGAUCUAUGAGGAUGUGAGAUUGGCAUAUCAGUCAUAAACAUUUGCCACACACAUCUUCUGUGCAGCCGUGUCCUAGCUGAAACAGCAAUAUAAUAUCAUAUUUACGUUUUGGGCUUUUAUUUUGGUGGUGUUGGCAUGGCUGGUGUCCUACCCCAUCACAUGCCUAUUUGCCAGUGUGCAAAGAACCUUUUUGAUAACUGCCUGAUCCCAUGCAAAGACAUCAUCACCAUCUGAUCAAGGUGGCCCAUGGAUUAAUCUCACUCUCAGAAACAGGCUUAACAGAAAGACGCAAGGUAUGUUCUGUGUCAGUAAUUUCAAUUCUCAGUACAAUGCUGCCUGAGAGGACAUUGCUUCCACACUAUGGGUCCAGUUCCCAAAUACCUUUUGGGGCACAUUGAUUUCUGGGAGAGAUCUAACAUUCAAGUUCCAGAAUGGUCUGAGGACAUUGGUAGGUCUUGGAGCCUGCGACAUGCUGUAUAAACAAUGUUGUCAUUUACCUCAUGCCAUAGUCCAGUGGGAAGUUCUUUCACAAGCCUCCCUGAAGGCAAUGGGGGCUUUCCUUGUAGUGAGUGUGGUUUGCCAGAUCUGUUUUAGGGAGGUCACAGCUAUUACACGGUUUAAAUAUGUGUUGUCAUUGCUGUAUACCACCCUGUUCUUAUAGGAGCUGGUGUAUAAAUAAAGUACCUCUAGAAAUAAAGAAAUAGCAUUGACCACAGUAAUCUCUUGGGCCUUCUGCAUGAUUUGGGUGUUCGGGGCCUUGUUUUAGGGAGGUUUCCCUCCCACUUAUAGGGUCGGUUCCUGCCCUCUAGCAGUUGAUCUGUGCAUCGCUAGAGGACAUGAUUUAGUUUUCUAAAUGCUGUUUAAUAGCUACAUGAAGCCACUGGAGGCAGUCAGAAGAUUUGGGGCAGGGUGUAAUCAGUAUGCCAAUGAUAUUUCACUCUGUUUCUCUAUAAGUUCUGAUUCGGGAGAGGCCUAGAUGCAAUCAUGAACUUGUUGUUGUUGUCGUUUAGUCGUGUCCGACUCUUCGUGACCCCAUGGACCAGAGUACGCCAGGCACUCCUGUCUUCCACUGCCUCCCACAGUUUGGUCAAACUCAUGUUCGUAGCUUUGAGAACACUGUCCAACCACCUCGUCCUCUGUCGUCCCCUUCUCCUUGUGCCCUCCAUCUUUCCCAACAUCAGGGUCUUUUCCAGGGAGUCUUCUCUUCUCAUGAGGUGGCCAAAGUAUUGGAGCCUCAGCUUCAGGAUCUGUCCUUCCAGUGACCACUCAGGGCUGAUUUCCUUCAGAAUGGAUAGGUUUGAUUUUCUUGCAGUCCAUGGGACUCUCAAGAGUCUCCUCCAGCACCAUAAUUCAAAAGCAUCAAUUAUUCAGCGAUCAGCCUUCUUUAUGAUCCAGCUCUCACUUCCAUACAUCACUACUGGGAAAACCAUAGCUUUAACUAUACGGGCCUUUGUUGGCAAGGUGAUGUAUCUGCUUUUUAAGAUGCUGUCUCGGUUUGUCAUCACUUUUCUCCCAAGAAGUAGGCGUCUUUUAAUUUCGUGACUGCUGUCACCAUCUGCAGUGAUCAUGAAGCCCAAGAAAGUAAAAUCUCUCACUGUCUCACUUUCUCCAUUUCUUCCCCUUCUAUUUGCCAGGAGGUGAUGGGACCAGUGGCCAUGAUCUUUGUUUUUUGGAUGUUGAGCUUCAGACCAUAUUUUGCGCUCUCCUCUUUCACCCUCAUUAAAAGGUUCUUUAAUUCCUUCUCACUUUCUGCCAUCAAGGUUCUGUCAUCUGCAUAUCUGAGGUUGUUGAUAUUUCUUCUGGCAAUCUUAAUUCCGGCUUGGGAUUCAUCCAGCCCAGCCUUUCGCAUGAUGAAUUCUGCAUAUAAGUUAAAUAAGCAGGGAGACAAUAUACAGCCUUGUCGUAUUCCUUUCCCAAUUUUGAACCAAUCAGUUGUUCCAUAUCCUGUUCUAACUGUAGCUUCUUGUCCCACAUAGAGAUUUCUCAGGAGACAGAUGAGGUGAUCAGGCACUCCCAUUUCUUUAAGAACUUGCCAUAGUUUGCUGUGGUCGACACAGUCAAAGGCUUUUGCAUAGUCAAUGAAGCAGAAGUAGAUGUCUUUCUGGAACUCUCUAGCUUUCUCCAUAAUCCAGCGCAUGUUUGCAAUUUGGUCUCUGGCUUCUCUGCCCCUUCGAAAUCCAUCUUGCACUUCUGGGAGUUCUCAGUCCACAUACUGCUUAAGCCUGCCUUGUAGAAUUUUAAGCAUAACCUUGCUAGCGUGUGAAAUGAGUGAAAUUGUGCGGUAGUUGGAGCAUUCUUUGGCACUGCCCUUCUUUGGGAUUGGGAUGUAGAUUGAUCUUCUCCAAUCCUCUGGCCACUGCUGAGUUUUCCAAACUUGCUGGCAUAUUGAGUGUAGCACCUUAACAGCAUCAUCUUUUAAAAUUUUAAAUAGUUCAGCUGGAAUAUCAUCACUUCCACUGGCCUUGUUAUUAGCAGUGCUUUCUAAGGCCCAUUUGACUUCACUCUCCAGGAUGUCUGGCUCAAGGUCAGCAACCACACUACCUGGGGUGUACGAGCCAUCCAUAUCUUUCUGGUAUAAUUCCUCUGUGUAUUCUUGCCACCUCUUCUUGAUGUCUUCUGCUUCUGUAAGGUCCUUACCACUUUUGUCCUUUAUCAUGGUAAUCUUUGUGCGAAAUGUUCCUUUCAUAUCUCCAAUUUUCUUGAACAGAUCUCUGGUUCUUCCCAUUCUAUUCUCUUCCUCUAUUUCAUGAACUUGGUGAGCCCAGAAUAACUAAGGAGAUAGUACAAGAAUACUUGGCUAGUUUAGAUGUAUUCAAGUCUCCAGGGCCAGAUGAACUGCAUCCAAGAGUAUUAAAAGAACUGGCAGAUGUGAUCUCAGAACCACUGGCAGUCAUCUUCGAGAAUUCCUGGAGAACAGGCGAAGUCCCGGCAGACUGGAGGAGGGCAAAUGUUGUCCCUAUUUUCAAAAAGGGGGAAAGAGAGGACCCAAAUAAUUACCGCCCAGUCAGUCUGACAUCAAUACCAGGGAAGAUUCUGGAGCAGAUCAUUAAGCAAACAGUCUGUGAGCACCUAGAAAGGAAUGCUGUGAUCACCAAUAGUCAGCAUGGAUUUCUGAAAAAUAAGUCAUGUCAAACUAACCUGAUCUCGUUUUUUGACAGAAUUACAAGCCUGGUAGAUGAAGGGAACGCAGUGGAUGUAGCCUACCUUGAUUUCAGCAAGGCAUUUGACAAGGUGCCCCAUGAUAUUCUUGUAAAGAAGCUGGUAAAAUGCGGUCUUGACUAUGCUACCACUCAGUGGAUUUGUAACUGGCUGACUGACCGAAGCCAAAGGGUGUUCAUCAAUGGUUCCUCUUCAUCCUGGAGAAGAGUGACUAGUGGGGUGCCACAGGGUUCUGUCUUGGGCCCGGUCUUAUUCAACAUCUUUAUCAACGACUUGGAUGAUGGACUCAAGGGCAUCCUGAUCAAAUUUGCAGAUGACACCAAACUGGGAGGGUGGCUAACACCCCAGAGGACAGGAUCACACUUCAAAAUGACCUUGACAGAUUAGAGAACUGGGCCAAAACAAACAAGAUGAAUUUUAACAGGGAGAAAUGUAAAGUAUUGCACUUGGGGAAAAAAAAUGAGAGGCACAAAUACACCUGGCUUGAGAGCAGUACAUGUGAAAAGGAUCUAGGAGUCUUGGUUGACCACAAACUUGACAUGAGUCAACAGUGUGACGCGGCAGCUAAAAAAGCCAAUGCAAUUCUGGGCUGCGUCAAUAGGAGUAUAGCAUCUAGAUCAAGGGAAGUAAUAGUGCCACUGUAUUCUGCUCUGGUCAGACCUCACCUGGAGUACUGUGUCCAGUUCUGGGCACCACAGUUCAAGAAGGACACUGACAAACUGGAACGUGUCCAGAGGAGGGCAACCAAAAUGGUCAAAGGCCUGGAAAAGAUGCCUUAUGAGGAACGGCUAAGGGAGCUGGGCAUGUUUAGCCUGGAGAAGAGGAGGUUAAGGGGUGAUAUGAUAGCCAUGUUCAAAUAUAUAAAAGGAUGUCACAUAGAGGAGGGAGAAAGGUUGUUUUCUGCUGCUCCAGAGAAGCGGACAAGGAGCAAUGGAUCCAAACUACAAGAAAGAAGAUUCCACCUAAACAUUAGGAAGAACUUCCUGACAGUAAGAGCUGUUCAACAGUGGAAUUGGCUGCCAAGGAGUGUGGUGGAGUCUCCUUCUUUGGAGGUCUUUAAGCAGAGGCUUGACAACCAUAUGUCAGGAGUGCUCUGAUGGUGUUUCCUGCUUGGCAGGGGGUUGGACUCGAUGGCCCUUGGGGUCUCUUCCAACUCUAUGAUUCUAUGAUUGAAUUCUGACGAGAUGCAAAGCCUAGAGAUGGGGGCUCCACAGGUUCAGGAACUGGAAUGUAGCAGGAAUGGAUGGGGCUACACCCCCUGGGGCCAGUAUAGUUGGGAGGGGAUCUCUCCAGCAUGAAGGAUGGGAAGUGCCUAUAAAUGUUCAGAUACUUCGGUUAGUCAUCUUACUCCAAACCAUAGCUGUCAACGUUUCCCUUUUUUUAAGGGAAAUUCCCUUAUUCCGAAUAGGAUUCCUUGCAAGAAAAGGGAAAAGUUGACAGCUAUGCUCCAAACACUGAAUUGGACAGAAAACCCAAUAGAAUCCUAACCUAGUGCCAAAAAAUAGCACAUUACUUUUGCAGAUCGAUGUUUGUUCCCUGUCUUCCAAGCAAGCUAGAGCCCAUAUUAUUCUAAGCACCCUUUAAAUUUAAUAAAAAAAUGACAGUGCAUGGUUGUUUACAAAGAUCUAAUUAGCACAUUUACCUAAACAGGCUCUCAUGCUUUAAAAUAUUAAAAUUAAAAUGCAAAUUGUAAUGCUUGCAUGCAAAUUAAGAGGAAAUAAUUUCUACUUAACUGCCUGGAGGCACUUGUAACCUCCUUCCAACUAUCUUUCACCCUCCCCCUUUGGCUUGGCUGAAAAACAUAUUGAAUAAAGAUGACAUUACUGUCAAACAAGCUCCCUGUUUACUGAUGAGGCAUAUUCCACUCCUGCGUACAUAUUUCAUCAUCAAAGCAUGAGAUAAUUAAGACAUUUUAAUAGGUGAAGAGCAUCUGCUUAUGAGUCUGCAGAGAAAUCUCUGCCACACAGACUGCAAAGUUUCUCUUCUCUCACCACCCGGCACUCGGUGAUUUGCCAGGUUUCCAGCAAUGCCACGGUUGGGCAACGGAUGCUCCGUUGGGCUUGAGCAGCAGUUGUACAGCAUAUGCAGCGGUGACACAGGCAUGCCUAAGGGUGGUGGGAUAAGAGAAACCCAAACCACGCACAGCAUCUCACCAAGACCCAGCACCAGUCUUGUUCCUCAGGCCACUCACAGGAUCCAGAAGCCCAUCCUAAGGACCUAAGAAUGGCCUGCUGGAUCAGGCCAAUGGCCUCUUCCCACCAUGGCCAGCUGAUGCCUGUGGGAAACAGCAAGCAGAACAGGAGCACAAGAGAACUCUCCUGUGGUUUGCAGAAGAGAGAUAGGAAAACCUUCUGCAGGCCACACAUAAUUGUAUAAACUUCCUUCCUGUUGCCUCCUACUUCCAUUUUCUCUAAAUUGCUCUAAAUGCUGCAACCUGUCUUCAUAGAGGAGCCACUGCAUCCCCUCGACCAUUUUCGUUUCCUUUUUCUGAACCUUUUCCAACUCUACAACAUCCUUUUUGAGGUGAGAUGACCAGAACUGUGUUCUCUGCCACUGUCCCUUCAACAGGGCCUCCACCAGUAUCAUAGAAUUGUAGAGUUGUAAGGGAAUGGAAGGUCAUCUCGUCCAACCCCCUGCAAUGCAGGUAUUUCAGCUAGAGCAUCCAGGACAGGAAACUAUCCAUCCUCUGCUUAAAAACCUCCAAGGAAGGAAAGUCCAACAUCUCCCACAGGAGUCUAUUUCACUGACGAAAAGCUCUUACCAUCAAAAAACUCUUCCUGAUGUUUAGUUGGAAACUCCUUUCUUAACUUGAAGUCAUUGGUUCCAGUCCUACCCCGCAGAGCAGAAGAAAAGAAGCUUGUUCUCUCUUCCAUGUGAUAACCCUUGAGAUAUUUGAAGAUGGCUCUCAUAUCUCCUCUCAGUCACCUCUUUUCUAGGAUAAACAUACCCAACUCCCUCUGACCAAGGCAGAAUAGAGCCUUACUAUAACUUCCCUUGAUCAGGACAAUAUACUUCUGUUGAUGCAGCCUAGAAUGGCAUUAGGGUUUUUUGCGGCUGCAUCACUCUGUUGACUCAUGUUAAGCUUGUGGUCUACUAAGACCCCUACAUCCUUUUCACAUGUACUACUAGCAAGCCAGGUGUCCCCCACCUUAUAUUUGUGCAGGUAGCUAUUCCUUCCCAAAUGUAGAACCUAACAUUUGUCCCUACUGAAAUUCAUUUUGUUAUUUUGGACACAGUUCUCUAUUCUGUUAAAGUUCUAUCUUCAGUAGCAUUGGAUACUCCUCCCAGUCUGGUGUCAUCUGCAAAUUGGACGAGUAUACUAAACAGUUAUCACCUGAUACCUCGUGAAGCACUAGAUGAGUUUGCUUCAUCUGCUGUUUGCUCGUUCUGCUUGUCCCUUAGUACAUCCAAGCAGUGCGUGACAUUGAUGAGAAGGGUUGGAAGAACCAGAGGCAAACCCAUUCUUCUCACAUGAUAUUACUUAGCAUUUUAAAGUAAUUUAUAUUUUAUGUUGAUAUAAUGAUGCCGAAAGCAUGUAAAAGUGCAAGCAGAUAAAUAGGUACCGCUCUGGCGGGAAGGUAAACGGCGUUUCCAUGCGCUGCUCUGGUUCGCCAGAAGCGGCUUUGUCAUGCUGGCCACAUGACCCAGAAGCUGUACGCCGGCUCCCUCGGCCAAUAAAGCGAGAUGAGUGCCGCAACCCCAGAGUCGUCCGUGACUGGACCUUACGGUCAGGGGUACCUUUACCUUUAAUGAUGCCGAAUCCAGAUACGGAGUUGGGCUUCAAAGGCACCAGCUAAGGAGCCAGAUCAAGUGCAGGACUCUGAGGUGGCUGUUGGAGAUCAGGAGACCACUGUGUGUGACACUGUUGGACAGGAACCCCCCAGAAGAACCUCCUGGACCACCACAGGCUUUACCCUCAUGGGCACCUUCCCCUGAGGAACCCACGGCACAUUAUGUCAGCAGUACAGGGAGGAGAUUGGCCCUUUAAAGCUCUGAAGUUCUCCACAAAGGAGUGGAAGAGGUAGUUUGAAGACAGGGGCUUACAAGGCCUCCGCCUGCUCCAAACCUUCAGUGGAGUUAAGUUGCUCACUUGGAGCUGUCCAUGGGUGUGCAACUUGUAACCAAUGCAGUCUUACCUCUUUCUCUGUGGGAUCCAGCAUUGGAUCAGAACAUGACAGUUGAGCAACCAUUUGGUUUUUCUACCCACUAUAUUGCCAAGCUGUAAGGGCCCUCCCCAUAGUAUAAAGCAUGUUAAAAUGCUUUUGAAACAAGUUUUAAAACAACCCUUUUGAUUUUAGCAGCUAGGAGACAAAUGAUCCUUUAAAGAUAUUAAGCUGUGGAACUGGCAUAAAUAACCUAGCUCCAAACUUGCUUCAUGUUUGUUCUGUGUGAUCUGGGUCCCACCUGUGGGCUUGCUGUCUAAUUGCCUCACUUGUUUGGCCUUAGGCUGAAGUACACCAGGGCUCAUUAUUUUAAUUGGUCAUUAAAAAAAAAUCUUCUUCACAGUUGCCAGUAACAGUUUAUUUGUUUAUUAGUAUCAUAAAUUUUAACCUCUUCAAAGUACAGCAUUAUGCUAGAAGUAAUGAUCUGUGGCAUUCUGAAUAUCAUUUGCAUCUUCAUCCAAGGCCAGUCCUGGAACUCAGUCAUGGGCCCUGAUGAUGUACACGGCUUGCUUGAUACUUGCUUCUGUCAUGAACAUGACUGAAGGUUCAUUCUUUUGCACAGUGUAUAUGCAGAGUUUAUUCAUGGGAAUAGGUUAUGUGUUGAUUUGUUUAUGUUGGCGGUGUGAAAAGUUGGAGAGGUUGGCAGUUCAAAGAUCAUUAUCCCCACCCAACCUCACAAUGCCUAUUGCCUUACACCAAAUGUAACUGACCUGUUGAAAGGACUCAGUGAAUUGAAAGCAGAGGUGUUAUAUGUACCUUUGUUAUCCAUGAAAGUCUUUACUAUUUAAAAAAACAAAGCAUGACUGCAGUUUUAGGGUGGUCUGGUACGCACAACACAGCAAGCCAAACUAUGGCUUACUGGGACCAUACAAUUGUGUGACCUCGUUGCCCCUCCCUGGUCUUUUUUGCUGCGCUAACUUAGCAUGUCAUCCAAAUGGGGAACCAUGGAUAUGUUCUCUCCUUGCUAACCAUGAGCUGUAGCCAAGCUUUGCCUGGCCUCUGGCCUUCCAGAUGCUGCUGGAUGACAACUCUCACCACCCCUGAUCAUAAGCCAAGCUAGUUGGGGCUGAUUAGAGGAGGAGUUUAACAUCACCUAAUGGGCCCCAGGUCCCCCACCCUUGCCUUGGCAUGUGGAGGUUUUCAGAUGUGAUUUUAGAAAUGGUAGUUUAAGCCCACCCUUUUCUAUUGUCUCUUUAUAGACUUGUGCAGGCAGAGAAGCAUGGCAAGGAGGAAUGGGCAGAGCGAUGUAAACCACUAGGUUACGGUAAAUAUGGUCUCCACACCUUUAGCAGAAACCUAAUAAUCACCAUGGUUAAUACAGUGAGCUGCAAGUCCCUAGCACAAAUCUCAGCCUAGUAAGGAACUCCAUGGCUUUUGGCCAGCUGCUCUCUCUCAUUCCAGGGGUGAUAACAGGGAUGGUGAUAUUAUUAUUAUUAUUAUUAUUAUUAUUAUUAUUAUUAUUAUUAUGUUUACCAGUUCUCAGGGUUGCUAUAUUACUGGGAUAGUAUAUGUGUGCCAAUCUGCAAAUGUUAUUAAACUUGAAGAGAUUUUUACCCCUCAUUCAUUUUUUUUACAUUUAAGACAGCUGUUGAAAGUCAAAUCUUUACUUGGGAGAGAGUGUGGAGAGCAUCCAUACAAGACUGCAACCCUCUUGAUUUCAAACAAUCCAGAUGGGUGGCCCCUGGCUCACACAAGGAACUAAGGAGUAUACCUGAUGUUUAAUCGCCCUUUCGUUCAUGUAGAUACAUGAGCCUAGAUUAUUGAAACAGUCAGUCAGGUUGUGUAUCCAUAGCAAUGACCAGAGGAGAAAUGACAGCCAGAAUGAGCACAGAGAGAAGUGAUGCCACGGUGCACCAGGGAAACGGAUGCCUUCAUCUGCACCACCUGCAAUAAAACAUGUCUUUUCCAUUUUGGUCUCUACAGCCACAGCAGGUGCCAUAACUCUCCAGCGGUUUGACCCUGAUGAUGUGCUCUCCCAUUUUUGCUCAAGACAGACAAUAGCAGCUUUACACAUGGCAAUAUUACUUCCAGAUGAUGACUUGCCUCAUCACCCCAGCCAUAAAAUGCAAAACAAGUAACAGAAUCAUAUAAUUGUAGAGUUGAAAGGGACCCCCAGGGUCAUCCAGUCCAACCCCCUGCAAUGCAGGAAUCUCAACUAGACGGAUGGCCAUCCAACUUCUGCUUUCAAACCUCCAAGGAAGGAGAGUCCCGCGUGUCCCACAGGAGUCCCUUCCACUGUCCAACAGCUCUUGCUAUCAAAAAGUUCUUCCUGGUGUUGAGCCGUAUUCUCCUUUCUUGUAACUUGAAGCCAUUGGUUCCAGUCCUACUCUCCAGUAUCUUGUUCCCUCAUCCAUGUGACAACCCUUGAGAUAUUUGAAGAUGGCCAUCGUAUCUCCACUCAGUCUCCUCUUUUCCAGGCUAAACAUACCCAGUUCCUUCAACAGCUCCUCAUAAGGCUUAGUUUCCAGACCCUCGGUUGCCCUCCUCUGCACACGUUCUAGCUUGUCAAUAUCCUUCUUAAAUUAUGGUGCCCAAAAUUGGACACAGUAUUCCAGGUGCAGUCUGACCAAGGCAAGAAUUGCAGACUCCAUGUUAUAGCCAUGAUAGGUGCAAAUCACUAUAUGGGGAAGCUUGGUUCCAGUGUAUGACAAACAGAACAUGCAGUCUGCUAAUGAAUCAAAGAUUGCAUGACAUUCCCUGAUAGAAAGAAAAAUGGGUCCCCAUUGCAUCUGUGGAUCAUCACGAACACAGAAUAUGCCAUAGGCUUUUAGGUAAUGCUUGCACAGCUUUAUUGGCAAUGGCCAGCUUAACCUUAACAAAGACAAGAGUGCUGGCUACAUGGGAAAGAUUAUGAAUUUAUAACAUAUUCUAACCUUUACUGCAGAGGUUCAAGAAAACAACUAUCACUGGUGUCUGACAAAAAUAUUGAUAUUCCCUAGUUAUUUUAAUCAAUGAAGCAGAAUCCUCAUUGCUAACUAAUGUUCAUAAUGAAGCUUUUAAAAUACAAUUAACAAAUGAUAAUGACUUAACUGUCAAUUGAAUGGUUCACCCACAAGCUGUUACUCCAAUAAAAGAUCAGAAACACACGGAACAAAAUCUAUAUUUUAUUGGUCUUUCUUUCAUUCUUUCUUUCUGCAAACCUAUUUAUAGCAUCUGUAGUGUCACUUGCUGCUAUUAUAAGAUUUUAAGUUACGGUAAACAUUUGUUUUGUAGGACACAGCUGGACCAUGUUCUUAUUUUCAGGACAAUUUAUUUCCUGGGGGGGGGAGUCACUGUUCCAAAAAAUAUUAACUUCAGAAACAUUUUGCCAUGCUUUCCAGAUUGCUCUAGAAGCAGAACCCCUACUAUUCUUUAUUCAUUUCCAUGUCAACUCUCUAUCCUGCUUUUCUGUCUUAUUAAUCAGGGCCAGUGCUAGUCUAAUGAAAACGUUGUAUGACUGCAAUAUAAUCAAUUUGAAGAUUUUUUUCCUCAUCCAACAUAUUAUAGUAACACUGCAUUCUAAAAAAUUGGUUCACUAUUUAAUAUUGAAUUCACAGUCUUGUUUCUUUAUUAAAACUUGUUCUACCAAAUUUUAUCCAAGUUUAGUCUCAACAUGAGAAGUGUCCUAAAUAGUAGCCAAUGUUGAAAAUGUUGGAUUUGUGUGUUCCUGAGUGUUCCAUGGAGCUUUUCUGUUAAUUUUUUUAAAAUGUAUUUUUCUCAUAGACACAGAGUGUGUUGGCUUCCUUGGCUAUAGUAAUCCUGUAUGCUUUAGUUAAUAAGGCUACAGCUGAGCUAAGUAACCAGGUUUUUGGAUGUGGUAAAGAGCAUCUUAAAGAAAGAAAAGGGCACUCAGAGCCAAGCAAUUUUGAUUUUCAGCACCAUUUGUAAUUCAGUUAUAAAUGAACUCAUUCAAGAGAACAAAGAUAUUUUUUAUCUUUAUUUUGUUCUGCCUUUAUCAUAAAAGAGCAUAAGCUUCAGAGAAUCGCUUUGGCAAGCACUGAAUGAUGCAUAAAAUGAAAAUUUCUUAUCCUGUGCAUGCAGCAAGUCAGAAAUAUCACAACUGUGCUCUGGUGCUCCUUUAAGUGGGUGUCUUUGCGGCGAUACAUUAUAUUGACCUCAUAGGAAGCCCGAAACAUCUCUGUAGAUGAAAAGAAUUACCAAACAUGGCAGAGUCUCCAUCUGCCUUCUCCAAACACGGUUUUCUCUAACUCAGUUAAUAAUAUCAAUAAUUUCAUUGCCCUCAUUUCCCCCAGUUGACCACCCCAAAUAAAAAGUUUUAUGUGAGCAAUUCACUGGUUAAUCAUGCUAUUACUCUCAUUUUCCUCAUUUAUUCCAGACAGUUUCAUUUUAGAAGUCUACUGAAUACAAUCAUUCUUUUUUUAAAAAUGCAGACAUUCUUAAAUUUUGUUUUGUGUACUGAAACAUUCCUAUCCAACCUUACUGUUUUAACCCCACCUCAAAAGCUGACAUAGCAGUGAAAAUUAAACACAGAUGGGAUCCAACGAAAAAGGUAAUCCUUAAGGGGUUUCCCCACUCUUGCAAUAUUUAAUUUCUUUACAAAUAUAAAAGCAGAGCACAAAUGGAAGUAAAAAGCAAAGCACACUUAUUUCCAGAUCUUCAGGGGGAGGCACCCUUUCUUUCCCCAAAUGUUUUUGCUUGCAAUCCGUUGAUUCCCUCAGAGGUAGCUAAUCUGUGGCCUUCAAAAAUGAUAUUGGGCUCCAGUUCUCUUCAUCCCUGUCCAUUGGUUUUGCUGGCUGGGCCUGAUGGGAGUUGGAGUUCAACAAUAUUUGAGGGCUAGAGGUUAGCCACCCCUCCUUUAUACACACCCUGAGCUAAUUCAGGGUUUUUUUCUGUCAGGAGGAAGAGGUCUUCUUCAUCUUUGGGCCCUGCCUUGAUUUUUCAACUCUCCAGGUUUGGCUUGGAGUCUCCAGGAACCAUCCUGAUUCCUUCACCCCACCAAGUUGAUAGGUAUUGUCAAUCAAAUGGUGUGUGUGCCCCAUGUCUUGUGACUGAUUGUGCAGGGCGGGGCUUACCUAUCCCCCCCCCCAUAUUUUAUUCAAGUUGGCAGCCUGCCUGAGGCCAAUUUUGGACUGAGCAAUGGUGUUGUGAAGGCCAAGCUGCAGGUGCAACUAAACAUUGACAUGACCUCUGCAGAGUUCCUCAGCUUCUUAAAGAAGAACACAGAUCUGCUAAAAACAGCAAGAGAUAAGCUUAAAUACAAAUUUAAAAGGAAGGAAGCUGGGGGCAAGCCAAUGCAGCUUUAAAGUAAAACCAUCACAUUUAAUAGCAAGUCUUUCAGUAUGAAGGUGUCGUGCUAGCUGCCAAGCAGCAGGGAGAAAGGAUGCAAGAAGCUUUGGUUACAGAAAUGAUCUCAGAGUGUGAGUAGUUGUCUGGUGAGACCCACCAUUAUUCCUGGGGUUAACUGUUUAAAGGGGAAUUAAAGGUGUGGCAUUGGGUCUGUGAAUUCUAACCAGCAUUUAGAGGUUGCCCAAAAUUUCAGCCAGCACUGGCAACCCUAGCUCUGCCAUCUUUCGCCUUCUCUAGAAGGUGCCUCCGCUAUUUCCUAGCCAUUCUAAGGCAUUUGUAUGUUGUGGAUAUGAGCAUGCCUGGCCACUGACCAUCAUGGGACUGGAGGGGUCUUCCGAGCUCCCUUACCCCUCUUCUGUCCAGACUAUAGUAAGUCUAUAAGCAUGAUAAAUGGAAAAGGUUUGCAAGAGUAACAAACCUUAUAAAAACUGUGUCUGGGCCCAGCAGGAAGGAUUUCAUUCAUACUGCCCCCAUUAAUUAACCAGAGUUGCUAAACAGGAAAGUGUCUGUAUAUUUUCAGUUUUAUGGAUACUAGCUUGACUUUAUAUUACCAUUAAGUUUCAAACACAAUUUAAUAAAUGUUUGAUGGUUCUUCAGGGCUAAUGGAUUAUAUAAACCUACACCUGAUUACAUUAUAGCUAUUUCAUGAAGUCUCCUUCAAAUGGUUCUCAUUCAGAAAAUGGUGACAAGCAAACUGUUAUUGGCUGACUAAGCAAAGGCCAAGUACAGAGAGAAAAUAAGUAAUUUCGGAUUAUUGGUAUCUGUGUAAAGCAUCUUUUAUGAAAUUUACUUUAAUUUUUAAUACUUCUCACCUGGUGCAGGAUAUUUGGCUUGUAAAUGGGUGUUACAGAUGAUCAAGGCAAACAGCAAGAAACAUAAAAGUGCAUUUUGGAACAAUAAAACUUCCAGGGUCAAAGAGGAGUCAUGUAGCACAAAUGCUCUGUGAAGUUGUGUCCCACUAUAAUCACCAGCUAACAAUUCUCGUAGUAAUUGUAGUGCAAUGCCAUUGCUAUACAUUGUAAUGGCCAUUUGUUACUUACAUUCUGACAAUGAAAACACACACAAGUACUAAGGAUGAAAAGAGAGACAAUAAUAAUUAGUGUCGGUAAAGGUAAUGGAACCCCUGACCAUUAGGUCCAGUCACAGACAACUCUGGGGUUGCGGCGUUCAUCUCGCUUUAUUGGCCGAGGGAGCCGGGGUAUAGCUUCCGGGUCAUGUGGCCAGCGUGACUAAGCCGCUUCUGGCGAACCAGAGCAGCACAUGGAAACGCCGUUUACCUUCCCGCCAGAGCGGUACCUAUUUAUCCACUUGCACUUUGACAACUGCUAGGUUGGCAGGAGCAGGGAUCAAGCAACGGGAACUCACCCCGUCGCAGGGAUUCGAACCACCAACCUUCUGUUUGGCAAGUCCUAGGCUCUGUGGUUUAACCCACAGCACCACCCGCGUCCCUCUAAUUAGUGUCAGUACACCAGUGCUAUUUUUCUAGAAAAAGAAGUGCUGGAACUCACCAUGACGCCCACCUGAAAAGUGCUGGAGCUGAGUUCUGGCUGAAAAAAGCCCUGAAAAUUUAUAUCAAAACACUAAGCUUAUCUGAUCCAUAGAAUCAUAGAGUUGGAAGAGACCACAAGGGCCAUCGAGUCCAACCCCCUGCCAAGCAGGAAACACCAUCAGAGCACUCCUGACAUAUGGUUUAUUUAGUAUAUGGUUUAUACUAUAUAACAUAUGGUUUAUCCAGUUUAUACUAUUACCUUACUAUAUAUAUCUAUAUAUAUAUAUAUAUAUAACAACAUAAACACCAGUUACAAAAUUUCUCUGCUCCAUAAGGCAUGUGAUGAUGCAGUGCCCAUGUCUUUUCCUAGUGAGAUCCUCUAGCUCUAGUAGAAAAUCUCCUUCAUCCAGGAACAAACUGCAGCUGUUGCCUUUCACCCUGUUCUGCUCCUUUGCAGCAGGUGUCCUAAUUGUUUAUCCCCAAUUUUCCAUUGAUCCACCCAAUUGCGCUCUCUCAUCUGCGCUUCUCUUUAAAGUCCUGUUUUUGCAUCCUGCUCUCUCCCUGGCUGGAGGGCAAGGGAUUACAUCAUCACCCUGACCAGAAACAUUAAAAAAAGAAAAGAAAUCUUUAUCUAGGAUUCUAAUGGCUAUCCAGGUGCAAGAGAGAAUUCAUUUGUGGAAUAUGUUGGCAAUUUCCAUCACCUAUUUGUAGUUUCCACCAUCUGGUAAUUAGAGGCACACUGUACAGCCAUGCAAAUGCACAUACAGUACAUUCCUAAUCUACUAACCUACAUUAUUAAAAAUUCUCUCACUACCCAGAGUGGAAGAAGUUAAUGAAGGGAUAAGAAGCUGAAUUUUAGGAGAUUAAAAUGCUGUUAAUUUCCAUAUGCACUUAAGAUUAAUAAACUACUAAUUAGGCUAUGCAAAUGAGGACUUUCUGAAUUCCAUCACAAACAUUCAUUUGGUACCUUAUCCAUAAAUCACACUCUGUUAAUGUAUUUUGUUAUGUAAUUGGGGAAUAACAGAUUGAUGAGCCAGUCCAAUUAGGUCUAAUUUACAUGUGUAUGAAAUUUGUUAAUAAAGUAUUACGAAUCUAAUAUUCAAGUAAGAGGAAACUAAUUAUAACAUGUACUUGCCUUACUUUGAAAGAAAAUUAUCUUUAAAAAAUGACUGCUACAUGGCUGAACAAGAAGCAGGAACACAAAAAUAGUCUAGAAUUUUAAAAGUUGCUAAAAGUAUAUUAUGCAUAAACUAAAAAAAUCCCCCACACGGCCCCAGAAUGACAGAACACUUAGUCUAUCACAGAUAAAUAAAAUAGCAGCCACCAUAAGCAGUCACAGAGAAUACCUUUAUGCAAAAAUAUCUGGUAUGGUUGUCAAAAUCCUAAGGGCUAAUAAUUUUAACUAUCUGAAAAAAAUGAAUAAAGUUUUAUUUUAUUCAUUAUUUUAUUCAUACACACACAAAAAUAAAAUUACUAAAACUAACUUAAAUACAGAAAGUAUAAAUAAUACCAAUACAGAAACCACCCAGAAAUUGAUACAAGAACCUGUUUUGAUAUGGCAAACUGUGGAGGAAAUUAGGGAAAAAGCAGUUGCUGCUGAAGGUAAAGUAACACAACUGGAGAGAAAGAGAAAGAGAGCCCCAGCCCUAUAGAGGCAAUUUGAUGAACAUAAGUUAACGCUUCCUACGACUGAACUUAAAGAAAAACAGACGAAUUUGAGGAUUAGAGUUCACCUUUGGUGGACAUGCCCAAGGAUUAAGACACUCUGGGAGAUGAUUCAUAACGAAAUGAAAAAGGUAUUUAAAUAUACCCUUUUGAAGAAACCAGAGGCCUUUCUCCUGGGCAUGGUCGGCCAAUUGGUGUUAAAGAAGGAUAGAAUUUUUUUCAUGUAUGCAACAAUAGCAGCAAGAAUACUCAUUGUGAAGUACUGGAAGACAUAAGAUUUAUCCAUUCGGGAAGAAUGGCAGAUGAAGUUGAUGGACUAUAUGGAAUUGGCGGAAACGACUGGCACAAUCCGAGACCAGGGAGAAGAGUCGGUGGAAGAAGACUGGAAAAAGUUUAAGACUGUUUAUAGAAAUACUGUAAAAUAAUGAAUGUUAGAAAAAGGUUGGAAUGAAGUUAUAUGGCUUUAGUAGAAAUGUUAUAAGGAAUCAAGUAUAAAUAGAUUAAUAGUGUAUUAAAGGGAAAAUAAGGCUAGAAUAUGUUAAGAUAAUCAUAGGAUAGAAAACAGAGGAAGAUGGAAAGGAAUUGCUGAAAUAAUUAACAGAAGUGGAAAACAAAAAGGGAGGUGUGAGGAGGUCGUGGAAAUAAGGGAUUGAAAAAUAAGACAUUGAAAUUGUUUUGUGUUUGAAAUAGUUUGUGUCUUGCUUUGUUAGUUUUAUGUUUUUCUUGUUUUUCUCUUUUUUCCUUUCUUUUUUUGUCUUUCUGUUUUGUUGUGUUUAAACGGUUGAAAAUUAAUAAAUAUUAUUUUUUUAAAAAUGAAUAAAGUUGUUAUAGUAGACCACAUGAUUAAUGCUAGGUUGCUGAUAUCAGGCUGUGUACAAACUCCUGUUUACUCUGCAUCCAAUAUACUCCCACCACUGCUUUUAGCCACAAUCCACAUCUAUCCUGUUAUUUCUUAAUAAAUACUACAAUAAAUAAAGAAUAAAAUAAAUAAAGAAUAAAAUAACGCAAUACCCAAAUCAGCUUGGGUCUAGUUUAGAAACCUAAGCCAUAGGAAGGCGCCCCCUGCAGCCACUGGUGUGGACAGACAGCACACAACCAGGAAACACGGCUGGGAGGUGCACAACACUCAGCAAGGCAGCGAGGGAGGCGGAGACGACUUGGCUUCAUUUUAAGUCUGUUGUGUGUCUGCAGCCAACCCUCCGUUGCCAGAAAAACCCACUCUUUGGUUUCUUUAAACUUUUCAACAUAAAUCAAUGGGUUUAGGAUCACAGGAAUUGAUUCAUACUAUCAACAGCACUAGAAAUCUGCUCUAUGUUCAGCAUAUCUUCCAACCUGGAAUCUCAUUCACCUUAAAGAAUUCUGUGGCUCUUAGGAGUUCUUGGUCACUAUCAUUUCAGAUUGCAUUUUGAAUAUGUCUCCCAUCAAAAGUUCACAGGAAACCAGCUUGGAAACCUAUUCUGAUCUUUCUCUCUGGGGCGUUUUAUGUGCAACAAAGUGUUUGAGUGUGUGCUGUGGAAGACCUUCUUCUGUUCUACCCUGGUACAGUCCAGGAGAUCCAAGGCCUCUGGGAUUUAUCGUCAUCUAUAGAUUAGCUCUUAGUUUUCUGUUUCAAAUAUAUUUAUAUAUCAACCAUUGGUUGAGAAAGAGAGAGAAAUCAUGAACCCGUUAUCCAUUAAGUGUUUGAAUACAAGAGGAUAUCAAGAUGGAAUCUUGGACAAGGAAAAGAGUUUUCUUGACUCUCUGCAGCUUCACAUCUUUCCCACAGAUUCCAGCCUGAUGCAGCUCUUAUUGCCUGUUUUGAAGCUAGAAAUUUGCUUGUCCUUUAUAUAUAUUUAUUAAAUCUGCAUUAGCAUACAGCCAUAGCAAAAUAAGACAAUACAAAAAAAUGUUGGGGACAAGCAACCAAGCAAAAUUCAAAGCGAUAUUGCUGGCGUAAUGACAUUUAAAACACCCUAAGACAAUAAUACAAAGAUUUGGUUGCCAGCACCAAAAAACUAGUAUGCGGAUAUAAAUAAAGCAUAAAAUGGCCCCAAAAUAGGCUCAGCACAUUGAGUUAAAAAGGUAAUAAAAGAAUUAAACAGGUCCAGGACUAGGGCACACUACCCUGUCAGAGUAGCCCUGAGUUUCAGAGCCUGCACUGUGAAGAUUGCCACCCCACGUGAAAUUUGGGGAUUUGCGUCCACAAGAAGUGCUUUCAGACAGUCUUCCUUAGAUGAAAUGGAGGACGGGAUCAAGAGGAGGAGCUUAGGUCUUAUUGGGUCAUAAAUAGGGCAGUAGAAAAAGAAAUGUAUGAAGUCCUCUACUUCAUUCAUUGUGCAUGGACAUAGACGCUGAGUAAUAGGGGUCUUAGAGUAGGUCCCCUGCAAGAAGGCCGUGGGUAUAGAAUGAAAACGGGCCAUUGUAAACGCUCUUCUCAAGUUGGGCUCCGUCAGGUCUAUCAAGUAGUUGGCAAGUGAUCUUACCACUUUCACUUUAGGGAGCCACAUGGAGAGCGAGCUGAGGUGGACUGUGCCCGGUCCAUGGCCUCAUCUCUUAUAAGAAUCCAGUCCCGGAUUUUAUGUUGGUCCCAAGAUGACAACGUGUCGAAUUCUGGGAGGGAGUAGCGUACAGUAAUAGUCUCCAUGGCCUUGGACCAUUUGUUGGAGUGAGAACAAGUUAAAAGGCUUGCCUGGCUAGUAGGAACCUGGGGCAUUGAUUAAUUUGCAAUAAAAACUAAUAAUUCUAAUAUGGGCUCUCGCAACAAUGGAGGGAGGCCCAGUUCUGUUCUUAACUGAGCAGCAACCGAGCCCUUAGGGAGACCCAGUAACUUUCGUACAAAAGAGUUUUGUAGAAUCUCCAGCCGUUGAAGUGUUUUUAAAUUCCACCCCCAGAUUUCAACCCCAUACAGUAACAUCGGGAGGACUUUGCUAAUAAAUGCUUUUCUGAUUGGUGGAACCAACUGGCCGCCUUUUGCAUAGAAGAAUUUCUCCAAGGCUUUGAUGGUUCUACGGGCAGCCAGGAUGGUCAUAUUUAGGUGAGCUGACCAACUAAGCCCAUGCUUGUCCUUUAGAAUGGCAUCUAAAAUAACUCUCUUUUCCCUCCAGUUGCAUUUUAUCUCUUUUCCAACUCCUUUUCUUGCAGAGAUGCCACAUGCAAAUUGCCUUUUAAAACAAAUAAGGAGUGUGGAAUAUAUGCAUAUUAAACAUCCGGCGAUACACUGAGCCUGCCCUUUAUGGGGCAGUUCUUUGCUCAGAGACCAUGUGUGUGAUUGAGAAGAAAAGUGCCUGGGGACAAAUGGGGGGGGCAGAGAAAGGUUGGAAAUUCUAUCAAUGCAUAGAGAAAUGUUAUGAAUGUCUUGCCAACCACCCCCUAUUUAUGCCAAUUUCAGGACAGAAAGGAAGGAUAAUGAACAGAUAAAAUUACCUCAGCUUUUUCUUCUCUAUGAAGCUAGUGGCUGAGGAGAUGCUGCCCAAAUGCUGUGACGGUUACCAUGUGUGUCCAUAACUAUUCUUCAGCAUCUGCUCUUUGAGUGCAAUUGGUGCAUUCCCAGUGUGACUGAAUGGGUCCUGGAAACAUAAUGAUUCUGCUUUGCCCAGGCAGGCACAUUAUGUGGCCCAUGAGAGCAGCAAAAUAGCUGGACUGUACAAUUGUGAUGAGAUAAAAUCAGGCCAAAUCUUUAUUGACAGCAGCAGGCAGGGUAAGGGCUGGCAUGGCAUUGGGUCCCAGGAUCAGUUCAUUGUUCCACAAACCCUACAUUGAUGGAAUGGGUCCACCCCGUUUGGAGAAUCUCAAGCCCAUUCUAUGGGAGCCGGCCACUGUGGAACCUGACCCGGGUGCAAGUCAAGCAAGCAAGGUCUCGCUGGGUGACCAGGGUACGGAUUCCAGCCAGGCAGACCCCCCCAACCCGAGCUUGGGGGUGCCAUGGUCAAUCCUCCCCACCUGUCCCUUCAGGGUUGCAAAUCCCAGUAAUUAGAUUUCUAUUUCUACAUUUUUGAAAGCAUUUACUAGUAGACAAGACCCUUUGUUACUAAAUUCAUCAUAAGUACUCUUAAUUCUAGCCAAUGCCUUACCUAUUUGUUCAGUUUCUAAGAACUCAGAUGCAUUUUUACCAAAAAAAAAUGCAAUCUUGAUUACUGGGUUCCUUUCCCUUUCUAAUUGUAAGGAUGUCUUUACAAUUUCAAAUGCAUGUGACCGUUCCAUUUUCUUCUGCAUGAAUUCAUGCCCGCUGAAUUCAUGCCCGCUGAAUGAAUUCAUGCUUAUUUAUCAGAGAAGCCAACAUGGUCCACUUCAGAUAUUGGUGGGCUACAAGUGAAAAAUUUAAGAAGGAUAUUGGCAAACUGGAACGUGUGCAGAGGAGGGCAACCAGAAUGAUCAAGGGACUGGAAACCAAGCCUUACGAGGAACGGUUGAAGGAGCUGGGUAUGUUUAGCCUGGAAAAGAGGAGACUGAGGAGAUAUGAGAGCCAUCUUCCAAUAUCUUAAGGGCUGUCACAUGGAAGAGGGAACGAGCUUGUUUUCUCCUGCUCUGGAGUGUAGGACUCAAACCAAUGGUUUCAAGUUACAAGAAAGGAGAUUCCAACUAAACAUCAGGAAGAACUUUCUGACAGUAAGAGCUGUUCAACAGUGGAACAGAUGUCUCCCUUGGGAGGUUGUGGACUCUCCUUCCUUGGAGGUUUUUAAACAGAGGUUGGAUGGCCAUCUGUCAUGGAUGCUUUAGCUGCAUAGCAGGGGGUUGGAUUAGAUACCCCUUGGGGUCUCUUCCAACUCUAUGGUUCUGUGAUUCUAUGAACUCUAAUCAGCCCCAACUUGCAUGGCCAGUUGAAUUGUAGUCUAACAACAUCUUGGGGACACCACAUUGUCUACCCUUAAUGUAGAUGGUUCAGAACCUUUCUGAGGUUUCUCAUUGAGCUUCAUGUUGCAGUUGUUUCUGCAGUUGCUUCAAGAGUGACAACUACUCCUUGUUACCAUGUUGCACCAUAAGGUUUCAUGAAUAAACCAGGAAAACCAGGAUCACCUUUCCCCUCCAUAGUUGAUGAUAGAAGAAACAUCCAGGGAUGUGUUGCUUAAAUUGUCAGUGUCUCGUUACAAACAAUAGCCUUUUAUUCCUCUCUCUGAAAGCAGCACUAGCAAAACUUAUUAAUUGCUUGGGAAAGAAAAGGAAAGCUAGAUGUUUUGUGCUAUUAACAUAUGCUGACUUUGCCUCAUUGAAGUACGAGUUCAUAAGUCCAGAGCUGCUGUCACUGAGCAAAUGAGCUUAUUUGUCUUACUUUAGUCUCAGGAGGACAGUUGCCAACAAUCUAGUGCUCCUUCGUGCAUGCACAUUAGCACAGAUCUGCACACUUGCUGUCAAAGAAGUCCACCCAGUUUAACUUUGAGAAGUUUUCUAAAGGAAGCGCAUUACAAACAGAUAACUUAUCAAGGUGAUGGAUUGCCUUAUCAGUGUGUAAUGCACUGUUCCAAAAUGAUACACAUAAAACAUGUGCUGAUUAGUAUCAGCCAAAUGCAAUGCCCUAUUUUGGGGUACUAGAAAAAAGUAUCUUUUGCAGCCCCCCCCCCCCCGCCAGCUGCAGAUAUAAGGCACCCUUUACUGGUGAGAUAAGGUGGUUCUGAACAAAGAAUUAUUUUUGCCUCAGUUGUCAUCACAGUUAGUGGGAAAAGAUGAGGCAAAAAUCAUUCUGACCUACACAUUGCAAGCUUUAAUACUUGUAGCCAUAGACCAUCUCAAAUCUGCAAAUAAGGGCCAAUAUAUUAAAACAAUAAUAUCGCUACAUCCACUACUGAUUAAAAACUGCAUGUCAGAUAUUGAUGGUGAUGUUACCUCUGCUUGUAUAGUUUGGAUGAUCUGCUUUUUAUUUUAUUUUUGGAUUGAUUCACUUGGUGAAUUAAUAAGUGUACAGUGUUGCACUUACGACUUGCGAUGCAGUCCUAGUCAUGCUCACUCAGAUACUAGUCUGAGUGAAAGAGGUGUAUGAAAACUUAGAGCAUGUGAAAGAGCAAUUAUAGAGGUCUGUAACAUUAAUGCAGGACAUUCUCACACAGAAGCAUAUACAAACCAGUGGGUGACACUGACUAUUUAAGCAAGACUGGAUGUUGAGUGAUAGUUUGAAGCAUGGCACUUUGUGGCAUCUCAGUUCAAACACUAACACUGUUGUCUCCUCCCAAAGGUGAGUCUUUCGGAAUGACAAAGCUCCAGGUAGUCAUGGCAGCCACAUCCUUUAUUCUCCCAGGUAGUAGUCCUUCCAAGAUGUGAAUACAUCCUGCGCUGUCCAGAAAGUGAGCAGAGCCAUAGCUCAUUCUUGAGAAAAUAAAAUCAACCGUACAUCAAGUGUAACAAUGUUGUGGUGCAGACUACUGCAUGCUUUGCCAAAGUUGUUUUCAAUAAGCAUCGGAUGGAAAUCCAGUCAGCCUUGUCAUGUAACUAGGGAAAUACUCUGAAUGCUUAAAUACAAAAUACCAAAACAAUCUAGCAUUGUUAAAGCAAGUGAAUGCAAAACAGAUUUUUGAAUGAACACCUGUGGCAUGGUAUCUGGAUAACCCUGAUGUUCCCCAGAUCCCCGGCCGGGGACUGUGAGGGAUAAACGCCCAAUGCCUAAGCCAAGGUCUCCCUACAUCUGAAGCUUUAAUAAAGUUGUGGCCAAAUUUUAAUCCCAUAACAUGUUGUCUUGAGUCAUUAUUCCACUUGGGUGGAAGAAGAAGAAGAAUACAACAAAAGGGAUGAGCUCCACUUGAAUCAAGAGGGAACCAGACUGUUGGUAUCUAUCUAUCUAUCUAUCUAUCUAUCUAUCUGAAAUAAAGUGGGAGAACAGCUUCUAAAAUGAUUGCCAGGGCAGGAGGUCCUAAAAGGAGUUGAGGGAGUGUCUGGUUUGGAACAACUUCAUCCCCUGGUAUGAAGGUUAAAAAAAUAUGAUUCUUUAAAUUAGAAAGGGGUAUAACUAGGCACUGAGAAUGCAAGGGCACAGGAUAACAAUUCAAAGAGGCCAAAACAAAACAGAAGUGCCAAAGACAUUUGGAGAGAGAGAGAAACUAGAAGCCUCCAAGUCAAGAUGAGCAGUCUGUAAUGCUUGGUCUUAGAGGACAAAACUGGCAUAGUAGUGCCAAGUGGUGGUUCACGGCCUGUGCCAGUCUAAGCGACGUUGGCUGCCAGUCCCUGACAACUCCAGCAUUGCUCAGGUUGAGUAAGGAGCAAAUAUGUUGCCAGUCCCUGACGCAUUGGGGGGGGGGCAGGAAUGCUGGUCAACCAUUUCAGAUAGUUUGAGAAUCAUAGUAGGUCAAAUGGAAGUCUUUGGGGGGGUGAGUGGGGCACAGUUAUCUUUGGGUGUAAAGUCUAUAGCAGGGUUUCCCAAAGUUGGAUCCCCCUUGAUUUACUCCCUAGUAAGAGUGUGUAGGAUUGCAGUCUUAUUGGUGGCCUUUGGAUUCCUCACAUCCUUUCUUGAUGUCUAAGGGACUAAGGGACUAACUGAUCUUAGAUUAUGAUUUGGAUUGAUGCAUGUUAACAAGAAGUAAAUAUAUUUCAGGAUAAUUUGUUGAAAUCAGAGUCAGAAUUGAAGCAAUGCAAAGGAGCAAGAUGCUACAAAAUAAUAUAAUAUAAAAAAAAAGAAGUGUAAUUGCAUACAGUCUGUGUCAAUGCAUGUAGAAACACAUGGACAAUUUCAACAUCCAGUUUCAAAAGAAAGGGGUAUGGAGGGAGGGAUUAUCAGCUUUCUGCAGGAUAUUGAUGAUCUAGAAUGACUGGGUAUCAAACAUUCCCAGUAGAAGUUAUUAUGGCAAGGAAGUUGUAUAAUUGUGAGGGUACUUGUUCAGUCCUAGUCCCAUUUCUUCAGCAGAAAUGAAGCGGUCAGUCAGUCACCUAGAAACCAAAUUCAAUCGGGAUCCUUUCUUAUGUGUGAGAUGUACAAGAAAGUCAUUCAGAUAAUUGUACCGGGCAGCCAAAUCAUCUGUAAACUGUAGUGGUGACAUGGGGGGGGGAGGGGUAAGGCUUCCAGUGUUCAUAUGAGUAGAAAUGUCAUGCAAUUCAAUUAGUCACUAGUAAUUUCAAGUCCCUGAGCACUCCCAGUUCUGGAGAAAGUGUGGUGCAGAGGAGCAGCGCUAGUGGCUGAAAAGGGCAUAGAACUAGGGCCAAAUUUGGCUCUGGGCAGAUCAGGAGGGCAGGUGUUUGUGGUCUCACGUCCAGUCACCCUAUAAGCAAAGUAAUUUUUUAAAAAUGGUUAAAAAGAGAAGAAGAAAUGACCUUCACUAUAGAUGUAGAAAGAAUAAAGGAUUUGGAUUGUGUCACUUUUUGUUAAAAUCAUUUCUAUCCUUGGUUAUGUUUUAAUAUGUUGUUUGGAAGUUUUAUUCCUAAGACUUUUAGGCACUUGAAGACAAAGCUCUUUUUUGUAAGUUGCUUUGAGUUUCAUUCUUCGAAAAUAGGCGACUAAUAAAUAUCAUCAGCAUCAAAUCCUCUACAAAGGGAUCUCCUAUCCUGUAAGAUCUACCUGCUCAUGUGAAUCCCUGUGAAGAGAUUUAUUUACCAGACUGCAAGCCUCAUAGCCCCAAGGAGCAUGUAUCCCACAGUUGCAUAACAUCUUUGUAUGCAGCUUUAUUAUAAAACUAUUAUUGUAUCAAGUCAGGCUACACAUGUAAAUAGAAAUAUUAAAUUACGUUGUUGAAUGUGGUAUGAAAUUUAUGUAAUGGAUUCCUUUAGUGCAAAGCAACCUCAAUUCCCUUCAGCAAUUUUCUAUUUGGUUCAAAGCUGUUGUUUCUUUUAGAUAUUCCAUUCCCAUCAGUUAGGUAUAUAAUCUGUUUCUAGUGAACUUACUUUUCUGUUUAGUUUUCUAAAAUAGUUAUUAAAUUCAAUAGACCAUUAAAAACUCUGCAAAGUCAGUGGUUGACACCCGUAUAUAAUGUUGUUAAAUGAUUUAAUCUCAUGGUAUUUGACUUGCCGGACGAAAAGAUCUAUAAUUUGUAAUGAAUAUAAUUUUGUUACCUCUAAUUAGUUGCAUGCCAUUGUGCAUUAAUAAUAGAAAUUAAAUAAUUGAGUACCCAUUAAAUAAUAAUAGGAAAGUUUCGCAGCUAUAUUUAUUAUAUAAAAUCAGUGUAUGCAAUUUUAUUAAUGAAUUAAUAUAAUUAUUGCCGUGGCCAUUUCAUUAAUUGAACUUGUGAAGUUAACUGGAUAAUUACUUCUUUCCUCAACGUAUCCUGAAGGGGAAGGAGCGAUAUUACAAUACUAUAUCCCACUUAAUGUUCAUUGACAAUUAUAGUAGAGGUGUCUAUUUUAUUUGCUGAGAUGCAAAGAUUCGGAGAGCCCUUCAGAUGAAGGGCAAAAUAUGGGUGGAAUGGGUUGGCACUGUGGCUGCGUGCAACGGUCAUGAGUUGGGUCAUGGCGAGAGGAGAGCUGAUGGGUCACUAGAAACUGGAGUGCAAUAAAUGGAUAGGGCAAUGGUCAGUUAAUUUCCAUGAAGACUGGGGAUUACAGGGUUAGCAAAUCAAUGGAUUUAAAUUAGCUGUAUGUUAGGCUCCCUUCCCUUGCUUUGAGUGUGUCUUUCUGGCAGCUGAAUUUGCUGGAUUGUGCCCAGUUUCACCAAUGAUUUUAGAAUAUAUGUGGCAAACACCUUGCAAAAGGGGGGGCGGGGAUUAAAAGCCAUGACAGGUGCUAAAGUAAAAAAACAAAAACACCCCAUAGUCUCAUUCACACAUGACAGAGAAGGCGAACUUUACUUUUGUCGAUGUUGUCAGCAGUAUGUCCAGCAAUGUUCCAAGCUGACCUUUCUGGCCACUUCUUCAUCUGCUUGCUGUAGACUGUUCAUUGUUUUCUGACAUUUGCUAAACUAAAAAAAAAAAGUCCUUGGGAAUUUGUUUCCACCUCUUGGGAAAAGUCUGUACAGCAUGCCUCUGUUGUGAUAAAUCUUUACCAGCCAGCUCAACACUAAGCAAAUGUCAGGCAGUUAGAGAAUAUACCCUGGCCAGGCGGUGAUAGAAAACACGCGUAGCCUCCCUUUAGGCCUGAGUGGCUCUUCUCUUGAUCUCAAGGAACGCGCUGCUGCAGAUGAAAGAUAGUGUGCAGCCCAUGCUUUGUUAAUCAAGUGAGCGAAUGCAGAGAGUGAAAGGUGUCAAAAGGAUAUCUCAGAGACAGCUGAAGUGGCAGGAACUUUCAUUGUCUACAAGUUCACUCGGGAGGCCUUGGAUAAAUUCUUCCAUCUCGGAUGCCAAAUGGUCGGCUCUGAAAUCCAUAUUUAAGCAGCAAACUUAAAGGGCCAUGCUUUUCAAAUGUGUACUUCACAUUGCUCUCCACGGUUGCUUGUCAAUGUGCUUUCCAUUACAAAUGUGCAGAACACUCUCCAGUUCCCGCAGACAUUUUGCUAGCCUGAUCAAAACUUUUUUUGCUUCACUUAAAAUCCUUUAGAUGCUAUGCCUGAAGAGGAACUCUCAGACUUGCUUUGACUUUCUCUUUAGUCAACUUCCAAGUGAUAACUCUACUUAUGCCCUCUGUGAACGGAAAAUUUGGCUGAUUCGCGAGGCCUUCAAGCCCAUGGAGUUAAGGAAAAAGAGAGAGCAGCAGCCCUAAGUGCACGAUGGAACACGAGGAGAAGAAGACUUCUGAAAUAUACUCAGAGUCGCAAAGUGAUUUCAUGCUCUUUAUUCAGCUCAUAGUGGUGAGGAGGAAUGAAUGAAUGUCCCCUCAAAGUAUCUGCUUUAUAUACAUUAUUUACACAAUGGGCUGCACAUGAUUGGCUAAGUCCGGAAUUCUACUGUAAGCCAAUCAGGUUGUGGAUUCACUUCUAUCUGGAGCAUGAUUGGGUGGUUCCUGCCAACCAAUCAUACUGCUGCAUUGUUCUAGGACCAAUCAGAUUGCUGCAUUCUGAAUCCUAUUGUUCUAGGACCAAUCAGACUGCUGCAUUUUGGAUCCUAUUGUUCUAGGACCAAUCAGACUGCUGCAGUUUGGAUCCUAUUCAACUCAGUACAUAACACCCCUCCCCUCUAAGUUCCAGUCCUGCCCGGGAGGUCACAUUCAUAGUCCUCAAGGUACGCCAGCGGGCUACAUGUGCGUUGCGGCCUGUGGUGUUCCCUGGUCCGGGGUUCAGGUUCUGGCUCGUGUUCCAAGGAUGCUGGCUGUGAUGGGGCUGUUUGGUCUGGCGCAACCGGCUUGCUCAGUCGUGGUUAUGGUUCCGGUGUCCUUUCGGCCUUGCGGGUCCUCUCUGUAUUUACUGGUUCUGCCUCUCCUGCUGGCCCCUCCUGCUCUAUGGGCCUCACUGCCCCACUGUUCCCUUGGGACUCCUCUGACCUGUCCUCCUCCUGGUUUUCUCCCGGGAAUCGUCGCCGUAUCUGGUCGCAGUGGCGGAGCCAGCAUUGCCCCCCAUCCGUUAGCACCUCGUACGACAGGGGGCCAGUGACCCUGGUGACUGUGGCGGGUACCCAUGCUGGGCCUGCCCCAAAAUUCUUUGCGUACACUGGGUCCUGGGCCUCGAAGGUCUGGGGGUUCCUGCCUUCCCCCACCACUACCUCAUCCUGAGCUCUGUCAGGGUGAAGGCUGUCCAGUCUGAUUGCAAGGCACCGACCCAUUAGUAGUUCAGCGGAGCUCUGGCCAGUCGUUGAGCUGGGGGUGCUGUGCUGUGCUAGAAGGAAUGUGGCAAGGCGGUACUCCCAGUCCCCUUGCGUCAUGCGGCGAAGGGUGUCCUUGGUGGUCCGCACCAUGCGUUCUGCUUGGCCGUUGGUGGCAGGGUGGAAUGGCACCAAACGGAUGUGGCAGAUGGCGUUCUGCGCUGUGAAGGUUUGGAAUUCUCCUGACGUAAAUGCAGUCCCAUUGUCUGAGAUGAGAGUGUCAGGGAGCCCGUGGGUUGCAAACAGCCUGCGUAGUACCCGGAUGGCUGCGGACGUAGAAAUGGACGGUACCAGUGCGACUUCCAGCCAUUUGGUGUAGGAGUCCACCACUAUGAAGAAUGUUUUCCCCUGAAAGGGGCCAGCGAAGUCCACAUGCAGGCGUGACCAUGGUGCUCGGGCAGACUCCCAGGACUAGACUGGGGCCCUUGGGGGAUCUGGGCGGGAUUCUUGGCAGGCCUGGCAUUUGUUUGACCCAGGCCUCUAUCUCUCCGUCGAUCCCCGGCCACCACACAUAACUCCUGGCAAGGGCCUUUGUAAUGAGUAUGGGUUGCUCGUGCGUAAGUUGCCGCCUCUCCUGGCUAUGUUGCCUUGUUAAACCUUUCUGUCUGGACAGCCCUUCACUUUGUGGCAGCCUCAGUCGCUAGCAGAAUCCGUCAGUGGGCGUUUCUUAAACCUUUUCCAACAUAAAAGUUGUUUGACGCCAAGUCUCCUCCUACUCUCCCUGCGCGGAAGCCUUCUGCGUAGGGAGGGUGUGGGUAGCGGAGGACCCGUGCUCUCCCCGCUGGUGUCCGGUGAAGAGUCCUGGAGCCCUCUCGCCGAUUCCCCAUCUGCCCCCCUUUAUCCCUGGUGUUGCACUGAUUUGCUUCCCCAUCUGCUGAGCUGCCUCUCUCCCUGCUGGGCCCUUCUCCAGCAUCAUUUGAGAGCCUUCCCUCCGCCUCUAGCUCCGAUGUCAGUUCCCUGACAGCCUUCAUUCUUACUACCCCUGGGUGUGUCUCGUGUAGGGCUGUGAGGACCCUGUUGCGGAGGGGCUGGGGAACAACGACCCUGCUUCCCCAUAACAGGCACCCCUUGUGGGCCGACAGUUCAUGUUUGCGGGUUGUGUAGCCGGCAAAUUCUGGCCCGGGGCUGCUGCUGGGCCAUCCCCUCCACACCCAGUCCAGGACCCGGAAGAUGACCCUAUCUUUCUUGGAAUGGUGUGCAACUUCUUGUGCCUGAAUGGGGCGGUCGGGAAGCAGCUCCAGGCUCAUAACCUCUUCUGCAGGUGCUGGGUCGGGGCCUGUUUCCGGUAGUGGUAGCCUGCUGAGGGCGUCCGCAUGGCCCAUCGCCUUCCCAGGGCGGUGAAUCAGUGCAUACUGGUAGCUGGCAAGGAAAAUUGACCACCUGAGGACGCGAGGAGACAGCACUUGGGGGGUCUGCUUUCGGGGCAAACAAGCCAAGCAACGGCUUGUGGUCAGUCACCACGGUGAAGGGCCGCCCGUACAAGAAAUCAUGGAAUUUUUUUACUCCCUUCAUGAUUGCCAGACCCUCCUUGUCGAUUUACGAGUAGUUCCGCUCAGUUGCGUUGAGUGUCUGGGAAAAGUAUGCCACCCGUACCUCUCUUCCAUCUGGGAGUUGGUUUCCAGGACAGUGGCAAUGCCAUAGGGCGAGGCGUCGCAUGCUAGCACCACCGGCAGCCUCUCGUCGAAGUGUGCCAAGACCGAGUUUGAGACAAGCAAGUCCUUGACUGCCUGGAAUGCGGCCUCCUGGCGCUGGCCCCACACCCAAGGGGCCCGCUUGUCCAGGAGUCUGUGUAGGGGCUCCGCUACCGCCGCCUUGUGGGGAAGGAAGGAAUGGUAAAAGUUCAAUAGUCCCAAGAAGGCCUGAAGUUCAGUCUUGCUCUUGGGCGCUGGGGCAUCACAAAUGGCCCGUACCUUGUCCCCAGUCGGGUGGACCCCUUCUACGUCCACCAUAAAUCCCAGAAAGUCCACUUGAGGCACUCCUAGUAGACAUUUUUCCCGCUUCACCUUGAGACCCGCCGUCUGGAAACGGUGCAGAACAGUGCAGAGGCGGUCCUCAAACUCCUCUGGUGUGGGCCCAGCAAUCAACACAUCAUCGAAGAAGGGGGUAACGCCAGGAAUCCCUUUAAGGAGGGAGUCCAUUAGAUUCUGGAAUAUGCUUGGUGCCACACUGACACCGAAUUGCAGCCUCUUUACCCUGAACGCUCCUCUGUGCGUCACAAUCGUCUGUGCCUCUGCUGUGGCCUCAUCUACUGGCAGCUGUUGAUAUGCUUGGGCCAAGUCCAGCUUGCCAAAAAUUUUCGACCCAGCCAGGGUGGCAAGGACAUGGCUGACCACUGGCACUGGGUAUGCAUGGGCCGUGAGGGCCUUGUUUAUGGUACAUUUGUAGUCUGUGCAGAUGCAGACCAAACCAUUAGGCUUGACGGGUGUGACAAUUGGGUUUUCCCGGGGGGCAUUAGGCACCGGCUCCAGCACUCCUUGCUCCACGAGCCGGUCCAAUUCCUUGUCUAUACGGGGUUUCAGGGCAAACAGGACCCGGCAGGCCUUGAGCCUGACCGGUCGUACUGCGGGGUCAAGCUGUAGAGCAAUGGGGGGGCCCCGUAUACUGUCCCAAUUUCCCAUCAAAAACCCCCGGAAAUUCCUUGCAUAUGGCGUCCACUUGUAAGCUAGUGUGGUUCACCCCGGUGACGGCUAGCCCCAGUGGUCCAAACCAUGCCAAUCCCAGUAAGCCCUUGACCACAAGCAAGUCCAGUUGCUGCGUCCGCCCUCGGUAUUGCACCCUGAAGGUCCCCACCCCCAUUGUGGGGACCUUACGUUUCUGGAAGUCCCGGAGGGUGAAUGGGGUCGGCCUGAGUUUGGGACCCCCAGUAGGACACAGUUUCCUUAAGGUCCUUGCCGAGAUUAUGGAUAGAGUUGAACCCGUGUCAAGCUCCAUGCGGCAUGGGGCCCCCUCUAUCUGUACCUCUACAUAAAUUUUCUCUACGUUGGGGUGGGGCAACUGGUAUACCUGGAAGUCCGUGAGCUCCGUCGAGUUGCCUUGGUGUAUUGGGCCCCGGGACCUGGGGCUCUUGGAUUGGUCCUCUGAUGCCUGGCGUCGGGUGGGCCGAGCUCGACACACCCGGGUGAUGUGUCCUGAUUUUCUGCACUGCCUGCACUCUGCGUUGCGGAAACGGCAGGUCCUCCUCUCGUGACUUUCCCCACAGCUUGCGCAGUUCCCUCCUCGUCGAGGCAGCUGUGGUCUGUGCGCUGCUUGAGUGCACUGCUGUACUCGGUGCACCUCCUCCCUGUCAGAUCCUGAGUCGUCGGUGAGGUCUUCGUGGUGGACCCUUGGUUGGGACGGCAGGCUCAGCCGUGCUUCUUGUGUCGACCUCUCAGCAGCUUCCGUUGCCAGGGCCUCCUCCAGAGCGACCUGGAACGUUAGGUCCUUCUUAGCCUAGAGGCGUCGUUGCAGCUUCUCAUCCUUCAGGCCACCGACAAGGCGGUCCCGAAGCAUGUUCUCCAGCUCUGAGAAGUUGCAGAACCGGGCGGCUUGGUGGAGAGAGGUCACAAACCCAGUUAUGGUUUCCCCAGGGGCUUGCCGCUUUGCGUAGAAGGCAUUUUGACGAGCCAUUGCUGUCGGUUGCCAUUCUGAGUUCCUUGUGUCCCAGAGCUGAAGCCUGGAUACACAGUGCGAGGCAGCGGUGCGGCAGGUGGCAGUGCUGCGGUGCUGUGUGUGGCAGUCAGCUCAGCGGGAUCCCACCUUCGUCGCCAGUGAAAUAUACUCAGAGUCGCAAAGUGAUUUCAUGCUCUUUAUUCAGCUCAUAGUGGUGAGGAGGAAUGAAUGAAUGUCCCCUCAAAGUAUCUGCUUUAUAUACAUUAUUUACACAAUGGGCUGCACAUGGCUAAUUCCGGAAUUCUACUGUAAGCCAAUCAGGUUGUGGAUUCACUUCUAUCUGGAGCAUGAUUGGGUGGUUCCUGCCAACCAAUCAUACUGCUGCAUUGUUCUAGGACCAAUCAGACUGCUGCAUUCUGAAUCCUAUUGUUCUAGGACCAAUCAGACUGCUGCAUUUUGGAUCCU
Molecule: long non-coding RNA, 51438 nt
Filed under: Podarcis lilfordi (Lilford's wall lizard)
Lineage: Eukaryota; Metazoa; Chordata; Lepidosauria; Squamata; Lacertidae
Source: RNAcentral